GGCGCUUGAAACAGUGAACUCGCCACCAGAUUCAACAUUGGCGACAGUCACCUUAAGGUUGUCCAACAACAUAGCAAAUCUCUUUGUCCUAACACCAAGACCCUUGUCCUUGAGGUCAAGCUCAAGUCCGAGUAGCUUUGUGUAUUCUCCUGACCCGUCUGCUACAAACUUCACAUGCUUGUUGUCUGGGUAUGUCUUUCCCCAAGCCUUCAUCACAAAUGGAUCAUUCACUGCAACAAAUCAAUUGCAAAUUAUGUUUAACCAAACAGCUUUAAUUAUAAAUUUUUGAAUAUACAAAUUGAUAGAGAUCAUGAUAUUCACCGCUAAAGCAAAUGAUCUCAUCAACACCCUUUGAUUUCAGCUCCUCUGCUUUGUCAAUGAAACUAGGCACAUGCUGCAUGCUAAUUCAAGAAAAGAAAACAUAAAUUGUCAAAUAUAAAUCUAAGGAUCCAGCUUAGCAACUACACCAAUAUACACAAAAGUUGAGUAACAAAACUACUUAAAGGAUAAACCUGAAAACCUAAUCUGAUUGAGAACAAGAAAAAAAAAGUAUCAUAUUUCAUAUCAAAUUAUGACAAAACUCCUCUAUAUAUGGUACGCCUCACGAGUCAGGAUCUAAGGCGAUUUACAACUAUAUAUACACUACAAAAAAAACAAGGCCAUUACGGAAAUUCUAAUUAAUUUAAAUCCGUCUGAAAUUCUCAACGAUUUCCAAUGAAACGGAUGGAAAAAAUGGCGUCAUCGGAAAUAUAUAAAAAUGUCACAUCCUGACCUCAUUUUCGACAACAACUGAACAUUUUAUGACAAAUAAGAAAAAGUUUGGAGGAUUUUACCUGCAGGUCGGGGUAAAAGCACCAGGUACACCGAAGAGAACGACCUUCUUACCGGCGGCGAAAGAGUGAACGGAAACGGUUUGGACCUGAUCAUUCUCGUCGAAGAAGGAGAUUGAUCCGUCUGGUACAACAUUGCCGACAGCAAUUGGAGCCAUGAUCAGAAGCAAAUGAUUUGAACUUUAAAGUAAAUGUGAAAAUGGAAGAGGUUAAAGUGUGAAAUGAAAUGGAUGGCUUUUCAGAUAAUUUAUAGGACUUUUGGAUAAUUAUCAUUAAUUGAGUUUCUUUUAUUUUUUAUGGUCAAAAUAACUGAUUUUUUUUCUUGAUUACCUUUUUGUUUGGUGAAGAUACGUUUCCGGAAUGAAAAAUCACUAAUUCAUUUUCUUUCCUUUUGUUCUUUUUACUAUUUUUGAUUUUCUUUCUUGAUCACUACUUCUUCUUUGCUUGGUCAAAAUUCAUGAUUACGAUUCUUACCUGUAAAUUUUGAAUGAUAAAAGAUAUAUAUUUUCCAAAAUUACAGCAACUUGUUUUUAGAAACCUUAGUAAAAAAUUUAGUAGUCAAAUUUACAAAAUCUUUUGAAAAACUUAUUAUGGUACAUAUGAAAAUUCUUAUGGUAAUAAAUCUUUUUUUUUUGGAAUACCCAAAAAUCAAUAUGAUGGAAAUAAGAAAAUUAUCUUGGUUAGGAAUUUUACUUUUUUUGUUAGAUUUAUUUCUUUUCUGGCCAAAAAUACUGUCUGUUUUUUUUUCAAUAUCAAAAAAAAAAUAAACAAAAAUACUAUUUUCUAUUAUUAUUUGAGAAGGACACUUAAAAAAUAACCUUUAUGUCAUGUGUUAUUAACAAUUUUGUCAUGCUAAUGUUCAAUCUCAUAAAGCUUCUCAAAGAUUUUUUGAAAUUAGACUAAACUUACUAGAUUAAUUACAUCAUAUGCCAUUAACAUUAAUUUAGUUAAAGAUUAGUUUAUAUCAAAUAUAUAUUUAAUACUCAAACAUUUAAUUUGUAAAUAUAUUCUCUCUCUUUCUAUUUAUUAUCAACAUAUUUAUAAAAAUUUAAUACAUAAUAUUACUUAUGUUACUAAACAUUAUUUUCUUAUCUCAUCUUUAUUUAAUUUUAAUUUUGUUAAAAAAUAAUCAUAUUAUCUAUUUAAUAAUUAAAUUUAAAUUUUUUCAUUCAUAUUAUAAUUCACAUUUUUUAUAUCAAAGCAAAGUAUCUUAGUCUGAUGUUAGACCGGUUAGAUAGAACAUAUUAAUCUAAUUUAGUAUAUUUAAUGUAUAAUUUUAUUCAUCUAAAAAAUAUUAUUAAAAUUAAUUAUAAAAUCAAUAAUUAUCUAGUAUUUAUGCAAUUGUAUUAUAAAAUAAAUAUAACUUUGAUCAUUAUUUAUAACUAAAUUUUGCGUCCACGCUACGCGUGGGUAUUUUUUUGAUAAAAAUUAUAUGCAAUCAAUUAUAUUUAUUAAGAUAUAAAUUUUAUAUAUUAGUGAUUUAAUAAUAUAUUAAAAAUAUUAUGGUGUUAAUUAUUAUGUAAAUUUAGAGGUUUUAAGGGUUUUGUUUUAAAUCUAUAUACAGAAUGUCAUAUUUCAAAAAUGUAUUAAUUGGUCGAACAUUUAUAAGUUAAUAUACUCAAAUCAACUAAAAAAUUUACAAAUUAAUUAAAUGAUACUUUUUAAACAUAGUAUUGACAUGAUGAUAAAAUAUUAUACAUUCACUUCUUUAAAUCAUGAAGAUAAUUUUUUUCAUCAUUUUCACUUUUCUUCCAAUUAUAUAUGUGAUCUUUAAAAACAAUAAAAAAUAAUACAAUUUAAAAUUUAAUCUUUUUUCUUCUCUUGUUUAACUGAUACAAAUUUUUAUUUUGUUAUAUUAAUUUAAACAACAAAUAUUUGCUUUGAGAUUAAUAACAAAUUUAAAUUUGAAACCAAAAUAAUAGUUGAAUAUAAAAUAAAUAAAAUCACACAAAAUUUGUGAAUUAAAUAUAUUAUCGUCAAUUUGUUGUGCAAACGUUUGAAAAUUUUUUCAAUGAUUAUACGUCAUCUCUUCUAUUAAGAAUACUUUUUUUCAUCAUGUUCAUUUUUAUUCUUGUUAUAUCUGUUUUUUCAACGAUAUAUCAUCUUUAUUUAUUUUAAUGAUUUUUGUAUGAUUAUCUUCAGUUUCAUCAUAUUCAUUCUUAUUUUUUGUAAUUAUAAUUAAGUAGGCAAAGCUGGUACAAUUUAAUAUAUAGAGAUCUAGAAAAAUGAAAUAACAAAUUGAACAACUCAAAAAUUCUACAUUAAUCAUUGCAAUUCCAAGUCGAAUAUACAAGAUGUAUUUUUUUGAGCAUUUUCGCAUAAUAUAUUACAUGAGAUUAUGUAGAAAUAUGUUUUGCAUAUGUAAAAAAAAUAAUUAAUAUAAAUUAUAAUUAUUAAUUAUUUAAAUUUCUACGUGAAAAACCUUAAAUCAAGUAACCUAAACUUGUAUAAGUAGCAUAUAUUUUUAUAGAUAAUAAAUUAAAUUUAUAACUUAAACAUCAAUAAUGAAGAUUUUAAUAUCAUGUUUUUUUUGUUAAUAGAGAUUUCUUUAUUCUUUAAUAUUUUUCUUAAUAGAUUUAGAAUUUUUUUAAAUUUACAAUUUUGAUAUAUACGAAUAAAGUUUAAUUUUUAAAUACUGAUAUGAAUGCUUUGAAAAUAAUAGCUUUAACUGUUAUUAAUAAUAGAAUAAUUUUAAUUAACAAUUUUUCGUAUAUUUUUUGUAUUAACAAUGUAAUUUAAUAAUUUAGAAUUUUUUUAAAUUUUAGUUAUUGAUGUACACUAAUAAAUUGAAAUUUUAAAUUUUUGUGGAUGUUUUUAGAGGCAUAUAGCUACGAUUUUAUUUUUCUAUAAAUUUAUUUUUUUGUUAACCAUAUAAAUUUUAAAUUUUGGAAAUUUUUUUAACUUUAAAUAUUGAUGUGGACCAAUAAAAUUGAACUUUUAAAUCAUAUUUGGACAUUCUUAUAGGCAUAUAGCUUUUACUUUUUUAAUAAUAGAUGUAAAAAUCAAAGGUAGAAGAUUCUACAAGAGGCAAGUGAUUGUGGUCUCUCCUUGUUUUGAGGCUUACCGAAUGUAUUUGGAUGCUGCUUGGUCUGCUAGUUGUUACCUUUUUGGUUAAUGUUAGGUUGUUAAAACCCCAUUAGAUGCCAUGUUAUUUCAAAAAACUUCUUCGGAUACCUCAAUCUUCGUCUUAAUGACGGAACUUCUUUCUCUAUUUUCAAGUGCUUCGUUUUUCAAAAGUGUCAUAAUUUUGGUCUCGCCUUCUUGUUUUGAGGCUUACCGAAUGUAUUUAGAUGUUGAUUGGUCAGCUAAUUGUUACCUUUGUGGUUAAUGUUAGGUUACUAAAACCCCAUCAGAUUCCAUGUUAUUUCAAAAAUCUUCCUCAGAUACCUCAAACUUCUUUGUCUUAAUGACGAACCUCUUUCUCUAUUUUCAAUGCUUCAUUUUUCAAAAGUUUCGAGUAUCAAUCACUUGACAUGUUUCUCGGAUUGCUUGAAAUUUAUCAUUCUUCUCAAAUUCGGUGGCCAAGCUUUGUAGAUUUUUCGGUCUCUUUUUCGAUAUUAAAGCGGUUUGUAAUGGCUUUGUUUAUAUCUUUUUCAUUAUAGUUAAAAAUAUAAUUUAGUCAAGUUGGUUCUUUUACGUUGUAAUGACUUAUUUUUUAUUGAAACUUAACUCUAUUUUUUUGUUUUGUAUAUUUGAAAUGGUUGCACACACAAAAAAAAACUUAAAACUUAUUAUAGUUAUGUGACAAAAAAAUUGAAUGCUAAUGUAAGAGUCUCUAAAUAUGUGUUUAUACCUCUAAUUUAAAUAUUAAAUUUCCUAUUUUAAUAUUAUUUAUUUUAGUUGUUAUUAUUAAUAUAAAUUGUAUAUAUAAUUUCUUUUUCUUUAAUAAUUUUUAAAAACAAUAAUAUAAUUUGAAAACUUUUUAAUUUUCAAUGUUGAGGUGGACAAAUAAAAAAAUUACAACAAAAUAUUUGUCCAGCAAUAAUAUUAGAAUUUGUAAAGUUUCUUAAUUUCUUUAUUCAGCAAUAAUAUUAGAAUUUGUAAAUUUUUUUUAAUUUUGAAUGUUGAUGUGGACUAAUAAAAUUAUAUUUUUUAAUCUUAUGUGGACACUUUUAAUACAUAAUUCUUUAUUCUUUUAUAUAUAUUUUAUUAACAAUAAUAUUAGAAUUUGGAAAUUUUCCUUAAUUUUGAAUGCUGAUGUGGACCAAUAAAAUUACUCUUUUGAAUCCUAUAUGGACGCCUUGAGAAGCCUAUAGCUUCAACUUUUAUUAGUAUAAGAUUGCAUAAUCAUCAUAUAUAUUUGUAAUUAUAAAUAUCAGCUAAUAUUUUUAUAGCUGUAUUUAUAUAUAUUAUAUUUGCACAUUUGAAUAAAAGAAUUAUAAUUAAUAUUUACCCUGCAUAUGGUGCGGGUAAUCAACUAGUCUUUGAUUAUAGUAGAGAUAGAAAGAGUGACAAAAGAAAAACAGAAUGCUAAAGCCUAAACGGAGAAAAGGAUUCUUAUUGUGUGACAAUUAACGUGCAUGGAAUUUCUUUCAUUCAUAAUAUGUCGAAAUCUAUAAUCUGUUGGGCCUAAGAAUUAGGCUAUUAAGCCUAUUAUCAAUCUUGACAUAAUGACAUCUUGUAAUUUGUAGAUCUAUUGGAAAUUUAUAAGUCAAGAAACGAAUGAUGAGUGAUUGCCAAUUUAUUUUACGUACCCAAUAGCUCAUUCUAAUAUUACAUACCCACAAAUCCAUAAUGAACCCUAUUGAACCUAAACUGAACCAAGAAUCGAAAUAAGCCCAAACAUGAGAUAAACUCAAAACUCAACAAAACCAUCAAAGAGGAAAUAGCAUUGUUGAUAUGAGGAAGCUGAAGCGAUGUUCAAUCAAGCGAGUUGCAGAAUCUGACUUUCCUGAUAAUUAAGCUCCAAUGUGACAAACUCCUUUUUUGAGCUUAUCUUCAACAGUUCAACGAUACAUUGGUAUGAACCCUAGAUCAAAUCUAAGCACAUCACUCCAGAUCUUGGUCUCCGAUAACAAACGCAUAUAUAGUUUGUUAAACAAUUCACAACACAGCAUAAAGAAUGAAGAACACCAUACAACUUUGACUUAUGCUAAAACUUUCUUAGUAACAGCAAAACCUCUGGCUUAUUACCAAGGAUUUAUGUUCCUAAAAUAGACCUUAUUUGGUGCUUAUCAUUGCCUCAUUCAGUUUGAUAUGUCUCAUAUCUUUCAUAAAUCAACACAAAGAAAAACACCAACACCAACACUUUGAUAUUACGACAUAAGCAAGUCACUACCGCUUUAUUAUGCCUGCUUAGUGAAAUCAGGCUUAGAGUCUUCACUUUCAAAUGCAGCGGUUUUACAUUCAUAAAUACAAAAGACAAUGAUAAAGUUUACUUAGAGAGCCUUGAGGAUAUCAUCGGCGCUUGAAACAGUGAACUCGCCACCAGAUUCAACGUUGGCGACAGUAACCUUGAGGUUGUCCAACAACAGAGCAAAUCUCCUUGACCUAACACCAAGACCCUUGUCCUUGAGGUCAAGCUCGAGUCCAAGAAGAUGUGUGUAUUCUCCUGACCCGUCUGCUACAAACUUCACAUGCUUGUUCUCUGGGUAUGUUUUUCCCCAUGCCUUCAUCACAAAUGGAUCGUUCACUGCAACAAAUCAAUGCAAAUAAUGGCGUUUAACACUAUGAAACCAAACAAGCUAAUAUACAAAUGAUUGAUCCAAGUGUGUAUCGAUUUUCUUGCUCUGCAUUUCUUCUAAAAUCCCAUAAGAGAUCAGAGGUUCGAUACGGAAGAAUCAUACUCACCGCUAAAGCAGAUGAUCUCAUCAACACCCUUUGAUUUAAGCUCCUCUGCUUUCUCAAUGAAUCCAGGAACAUGCUUCAUGCUAAUUCAGGAAAAACAAAACACAAAACCAAAAUCAAAAAUUCUCAAAUCGAAUCUAAGAAUUAAUCAGACCAGCAUGGAACAUGCUUCAUGCUAAUUCAGGAAAAACAAACACACAGAACAAAGUCAAAAUUCUCAAAUCGAAUCAAAGAAACAGUCAGACCAGCAUCAUGUGAAUUCAGGAACAUGCUUCAUGCUAAUUCAUAAAAAAAAAAAAAAAAAAUUCACACUCGAUACUAAGUAUCAAUUAGCUAAGCAUCAAAUCCUAAUCUGAUUGAGAACAAGAAAAAAUUAUCAAUUUUCGACAAAAUUCCAAUAUAAUUCGGUAAGCCUCCCGAUAUACAACUAAAUUAAGUGAGCAAAGAAGGACAACUCGGUAAACAAAAUCACAAAUUCUCAAACAGAAUCUAAGAAUCAAUCAAUCCAGGAACAUGCUGCAUGCUAAUUCAAGAAAAGAAAAGAAAAUGUAAAUUCUCAAACUCGAAUCUAAGCAUCUAUUAGCUAAGCAUCAAAACCCACAUACAAAAACUCUAGUUAAACCAUGUAAACCUAAUCUGAUUUGAGAAUUAAAAAGUAUAAAAUUUCAUAGCAAAUUUCGACAAAACUUCGCAAAAUCGGAAAGCUUAAUCUGAUCUAUAACUAAAUUAAGAGAGCGAAGAAAAAAAAAAAUCAGAGGAUUAUACCUGCAGGUAGGUGUGAAAGCACCAGGGACACCAAAGAGGAUGACUUUCUUACCGGCGGCGAGAGAGUGGACAGAGACGGUCUGGAGCUGAUCAUUCUCGUCGAAGAAGGAGAUUGUUCCGUCUGGUACAACAUCGCCGACAGCAAUCGGAGCCAUGGAUGAGAUCGGCGGCUGAGAAGCGAAAGAAAAUUGAAGAAGAUGAGAAAAUGGUAAGAGUCUAAAAAGCGAUGGACUUUGACUUGAGUUUGAGAGUGAUAAUGAGAAAAUGUAGGGUUUCGGACAAUUUAUACGGCUUCUCGGGAUUAUUUAUAAAUCAUUUACCUGGUUUUCUGAAAUUUUGUAUAUUGAUUGCGAUUUUGUUAGCUGUAACGGUAAGUCAAAAUUAAUACUUAAUUUUCAAAUAUCAGUUUCCAAUGAGUGAAUUUGAGGAGUCGAUUUUCAAGUAUCAGUUUCCAAGAAUAUUCUGAAGUCACUUAACUUGAUUUUUUUCAAGAAGUACGUACAGUAUGUUCCGGGAAUACAAACGACAUGUAUUUUUAGUGGUCAAUUUUACAAAAGCUUUUUCAAAUUUUACGAAAAUAUCUAAAUUAGUCUUCUUUUUUUUUAACACAAUCUAAAUUAGUUCAUUAGUAUUAUGUGGUUAGUAAGUAUUUAAUAUAAAUGUAAGUAAGAAAUUUAUCUUAGUAAAACUUUUGUUACAUAAAAAAAAAGAUGAUUUGCAUGAAUAAUAGAUUUUAGUAAACAAAUUAGCUAAUUAUCAUAAAUUGAUUAUAUAGCUGUAAUCAACUGCAAAAAGUAGGUGGGAAAGACUGAAUAUCUCUUAUACUAUAAUUCUGGAUAAAACUUUUUCUGACACGAUAUGAGACCACAAAACCUUAAAAAGAUGGAGACUUUACUUGCUUCUUUGUACGAUAGCAACAAGAACUUUAACCAACAUUAAUAUUUAUUAUUAUUUUAUAAUAUAUGUGUAGUAGUAAGUUAAUUAUUAUUUUCUCUCUCCACUAGCUUUCUCUUCCUCUCUGUUAUUCUUCUAAUCUUCUUCUUUUGUGUUUCUUUUUCUAAACAAAAUAUUCAGAAUGAGUGAAUUUUAGAUAGUGCAGUGCUGAUUUGAGUAAUCUAAUUUUGCCAUUUAGCUUUAUGGGUUGGAUUUUUUCAAGAAAUUAUACACGAUACUUUUUUGCUCAAACAUUUGAAAUCUGAGAUAACUCUAUAGCAUAAUUGACUAUUUUCAAAAAAAAAUAUUUACUCAGAGUAUGCGGUUAUGUAGUAAAAGACUAUUUUCAUAAAAAAGUUGUAUCCUCAGAUGAACAUCCUCUCACUCUAAAAUUAUGAGACAUUAUGGACGAUAUUUUCUAUGGUUGCACCAAGUUGAAGGUAAAUAAACAUAUAUCAAAUAGUCACAUAUCACUUUAGUAUAGACGUUCUUUUCGAUUCUAAUGCUUUUGUUUGUAGUAUUCAUAUAUUUAUAGUAGAUGACUACUAAUAUGUGACUAUGUUUAAAAUGUAGGUGGUUGUUAUCGACCAUGAUCAGUAUGACAACAUUGCAUAUGAGAAUCUUAUGGGAGAGGUGUACACAACCAGUUUUUGGAGACCCCUUUAUGAAAGACCUUUCUACCCAGAACCAACAUAUGUAUGUUUUGGUGACUCGGAACUACUUCCCCCAUUAAUGCGCUGACCACAUGGUCGAUAAAAGAAAAUAAAAAUUCCAUCCCGAGGAGAAAUGAAAGUAACGUAGUCAACUAUUUAGUGUUUGUAAUAUAGUCAACUUUUUAGAUUGAGUUGUAGUUGACUACUUUUUGGUAGAAAUGUGGGUGAUCUAAUUCUUUGAAUGACACAUAGAAAUUUGAAAAAUGUGGCAAGGCUUUGCAGCAGGUGUCUUGGGAGGGGUCACAAUGGUAACUCUAUGGCCAUAGUUCACUAUUUUCAUAGAAGAUUAUUUUCUCAGAGUAUGUAGUUAUGUAGUAGACAACUAUUUUAUAAAAAAGUUUCAUCCCCCUCAGACAAACUGAAAGUGUGAGACAUUAUGGACGAUAAUUCCUAUAGUUACACAAAAUUGAAAGUAAUUAGACAUAUACCAACUAGUCAUCUAUCACUUCAGUAUAGAUGACUACUAAUAGGUGACUAUGUUGAAAAUUAAGGUUCGUUUGAUUGACACAUAGACGUUGACUACUUUGUAACGUAUUUUGAUUAGAUAGCUAGUACUCAAAAUCGAUUAUUAGUAGUUGUUUAUUUUCUCCAUACAACUCAAAGUUGAUUCUAAUAUUAAGUAAGUAUUAAUAAUUGUCUAUUUCAAUUAUAUAACUACUACUCAAAGUUGAUUAUUGGUAGUUGUCUAUUUUCUCUGACUCAAAUAAUUCAGGGUAGCGUUUCAUCAAGCUGGGUCAUUUAAUGAAGGCAGAUAGGUUGAGCGCCCUGAUGACAGAUGGUUCCUUGAAUGUUUGGUUUAAAAUCUUUCAUGAACUAGCAAAUAAAAAAGCAUCUUCUGAAGAGUCUCUAGCAACUCUUACAAAGACAUCAAUGAAUGCAUUGUGGAUCUGGAGAAGCACAUUAUUUGUGAAUGGUGUGGGUUCACAUUGUUGAAGAGAACACAUAUCCCUACAAAGGAAAAUGACAAAAGUUAGUUAUUGUAAACUGAUUACUAUUGUAACGUAGUUAACUAUGAAUAAUUGUAAUUAGUAGUUGGUUAUAUGUGCAUAGUAGUUAUGUAAACUAAAUAUGGAGAAGUUGUUUAUUGUAUCUGUUAUAGAUGAUAAAAAUAGACGAUUACUAAUGACGAUAUUCAAUGUAGUUAUUAUUUACUCAGUAUGCAUAUAAAAAUAGUUAACUACUCUAGAACUUCAAAAUCAAGAGAAUCAUAUAUCGAUAACAACGAAGAAGAUGAUGGAACCGGGUGAAUACAGUGAACUAGAAAUAAAGUUGAUUAUAGAGAACCAGAAAUCGAAGAAGUGAGCAAAAAAAAAAAUACUAGCUACUGACUAAAUAAAACAGACAAAUAGUUAGCUACUGGCUAAAUAACUAUUAUUGUGAUGUAAAUAACUAUCAUUAUUCAAAUGAGUAAUUGACUAUUCAUGUAUAGUAGUUUUAUAGACUAACUGAAUACGCGCGUAGACAUUUAUUAACGUUGUAAACCAGAUGUGGAUAACAAACAAAAAGGCAACUGUACUGGGAAAAUACAGAGUACAAAUUGGCAGAAAUCACAAGUAGACGAUUACUAAAGACGGUGUAAAUAGUUAACUACAUAGAGAAAGAUAUGAAAAUCCUAGAUCUACAAAAUCAAGAAACUCAGAUGUGGAAAAAAAUAGUGAACAAGGCCACAAUACUGAAGUAAAACGAGAACAAUAAACAUAACAGAAGUAGUAGAAAGAAGCAGAAGAAAACCAGAUAUCAAAGCAAGGGAUGUUAGAGCCUCGCCAUAGAUCCUCGCCUUAGAAAACAAGAGGAGCAAUAAGAUGGACGGACGAGAUUUUGCCGUAAAAACAGAGAGUAGAGAAUUAUGUGGAUGUCUGGAAAUGAAAUUGAGGUUCCGAUAGUUGAGUUUGAGUUUUGAAAUGAGAUUUUCUGGGUAGGUUCUGAAAGAAAAAGAAUCAAUUCAAAAUUUAAAAACAAAAGAGAGAUAAUGAGUUGAACUAAAAGUUUCCGAGCAAAAGUUAUGGUGGUGUUGGAAAUAGAAAUUGUCAGAAUAUAUAAAAGUUUUAUUGAUAUGAUUUAAAUAGAACAGGUAUGGUUUAACCUUGAUGAGGGGGUUCGAUGUCUUUGCUCAAGAUUAAAAAAAAUAGAUUUUAAUCGACCUAAAUAAGACUCUGCAGAAUGCUAUCCCACCUAAUUUCCCUAAAAAAAAGGUACUCCCUCCGUUUCACAAAGAGUGUCGUUUUAAGGUUUUAUUUUUGUUUCACAAAGAGUGUUGUUUUAUAUUUUCAAUGCAGAAUUUUAAACAAUAUUCCAGUUUUGACCCUAUUGAUUUAAUGUAUUAAUUAAAGAAAAAAGUUAUUUAAUGCAUUAAUAAAUGGCAAAAUAGUAUUUUUAAUAGUUUUCUUAAUAAGUGUGAAAAAUGUCAGAAUGACACUCUUUGUGAAACGGAAGGAGUAAGAAACACUAUUUUACCUCUCAGCUUCCAUUACAUGGUCCACUUUACAUCCUCCUGAUCCAGUUGUUCCUUGGGGAAAAGUCGGUUUGGUUCUCUCAGACAAUUUCCUAAACACUCUGUCAUCCAUUAGGUUAUAAACACGUAAAUAAAACUCCCUGACUCAGGAUAGACUUUUGAGAUGGGUUUACAGAUAUCGCCGCUUUGUCUUCUUUGCAACUCUGCACCUGAAACUCAAUCUCAUUUGUUCUUUGAUUGCAAUUAUGCAUCGCAAGUGUGGUCUUCUUUUUUCACUUAUCAACCUCUCAAUCCUGCCUCAUCUCUUUCAAGCAUUGAAGGUUGGGUAAGGUCUGCUUCUUCUAUACCCAAGUUAAAUGUCAUUUGCAAGCUCUUGUUGCAAGCUACAAUCUAUGACUUAUGGAAGGAAAGGAAUGUGAGAUUCAUUUAGCCGUGUCCAAGCCCUCGGCUUAGGUGAUUCGCGAGAUCCAAGGAACUCUGCAUCGGAAGUUGGCAGGCCUCGAUGGUUUUGGGAACAGUCAGCGACGCUCCACAGCCAGCUCCCAGUUUACUUAUCUAUCAGUUUGGUUCGGAUAUAUUCAUUUUAGUCUCAGUCCGACAACUUAGGCCUCUCAUAUAUGGUGUGUGAUCUUCGGUAUUCUCUUUCUGUUAUCUGGUAGUGUGGUUUCCUCUCUCACGGUUUAAUAUGCUAUCUGUUUCUUAGUUUGCUCACCUGUUAGAGCUUAUGGUUCCUAUUGUAACUCAUAAACAAUGUCCCAUUUGGGAAGUGGCAAAAGAGAAAUAAAGUUUUUUUUUAGAAAAUAAACUAUUUUACUUAUUUGUUUAUUUAUUUUUUUGUGGUAAUUCUUAUCUAUAUGCAAUUGGAUGAAUAUCACCUUUUAGUUUAAUUUAUGAAAUCCCACGAUCCCUAAAUUGCACACAUGUAAUGCACAUUCCCAAAAUACAAAGUUCAAAUUCAGUAGCAGACUACAGAUAGCCCUCAGCAAUGUGUAUUACAAUUAGAAUCAGUCAGCUUUGAUCCUUGGCAGAGCUAUCUCUAAUAAUGUACUUAUAACCCACAAAAUCUUAUAUUUCCUGAAAGGAUCAAAAGCUACUAAGAGAUGCUAUAUGGCAGUGAAGACUGACAUGAGCAAAGUUUAUGAUAGAUUGGAGUGAGGUUUUAUUAAAUCUGUUUUUUAGAGGCUAGGUUUCCACGCGAAAUGGAUAAUUAAGUACUGGAUCAUGCAAUACAUCUCUACCGUCUCAUACACCUUUCUUGUAAAUGGAGCAGUCCAAGGACAUGUAACCCCAUAAAGAACAGGCGUCCGUAAAGGGGACCCCAACUCCAUUUAUCUUUAUCCUGUGUGGAGAAGUCUUUUCAGAGUUAUGCAAAAAAACUCAGGAAAGUGGACACUUACCAGGUUUAUAUGUAUCACGAGGUAGUCCAAAAAUCAACAUCCUCUUCGCAGAUGAUAUUAUAUUUUGAGAAAUUUACAAAUUAUAUCACUUUCUGAGUUUAGUUUACACAAAAUAUCACUUUCUGCUACUAUAACACUAUCAGCUUUUAGAUUGGCUAGAUUAUAAUUAUAUCUUUGUCAAUUACACAUAAUUACAAAUAAAAAUAAAAAAUCACACUCUCUCUUUUGUCUUUCUUUCUCUGCGACUACAGUAUAUUUUUUUUCUUUAUUUUUUUUUCUCUUUCCUCUCUUUCCUCAAACUUAUAUUUCUCAUAUUUUAUUUUGUUUAUUUUCUUUUUAUAAAAAAAUAAUUUUGCAUUAUUUUCACACUAUCAGUUAUAUCUAUUUUAUGUCUAUAUUUUGAUACCCAUUUUAUAAUAGUUUACAUAAUUAUAUAAUUUAUAUAUAUUAUAUAAAAAUACACAUAUAUAUAUAGUGUGUACAUGUAUACCAUAUUAUCGUGAAGCAGCAUGUAUGUUCAUGUAAUUGCAUCCACGUAUACCAUAUUAUCGUGGAACAGCAUGUACGUUCAUGUAAUUGCAUCCACGUGUACCAUAUGUGCGUGAAUACGUUUAUAUAUCCAUGUAACUUCGUCCACAUGGACCACAUGUUCGUGGAUACGUCUAAAUAUGGACACAUGUACGUAUUCACGUGGACACAACUAUAUAAUUGCACGUACGUUUUAUCUAAUUAUACGUAUUACAUAUACAUAUAAGUAAACUAUUGAAAAAUGGUACUCAAAAUAUAGAUAUAAAAGAGAUAUAACUGAUAGUGUAAAAAUAACUACGAAAUUAUUUUUUUUAAACACGAAAAUAAACUAAAUAAAAUAUAGAGAAUAUAAGUGUGAGAAAAAAAGAGGAAAGAGAAAAAAAAAUGUCGUCAGAAAAGGGAGACAAGAGAGAGAAUGUGAUUUUUUAUUUUUAAUUUGAUUUAUCUUUAGCCCAAAAAUUAUAAAAAGUAAAAGAAAGAUAAAAUUGUAAUAUAGCCAAUGUAAAAGCUGAAAAAGUGUUAUAGUAGCAGAAAGUGAUAUUAUGUGUAAUAAAAAGACAUAAAGUGAUAUAAUUUGUAAAUGUCUCUUAUAUUUUUCAGUAAAACAAGUCAUUUGUGCGUGAAAGCCUUGUCUCUAUCUUACGAAUGUAUGAAAAAGCAUCAGGACAAGUCAGCAACGAGGCAAAGUCAUCUAUAACCUUCUCGAGCAGUACACCACCAGAAAUCAAAAACAGAGUAAAUUCCAAUCUCAGGAUCACAAAAUAAGGUGGAUAGGGGAAAUACCUCGGUCUCCCUGAGAUUUUUGGAAGAAAGAAGAAAGACCUCUUCAAUCUGAUUGUGGAUCAAAUCAGACAGAGAGCUUUAAGCUGGUCUUCACGAUUCUUCUCUAGUGCAGGAAAGCUCACAAUGAUAAAAUAUGUUCUCUUCGUAAUCCCUACCUACUCGAUGAUGUGAUUUAAGCUGCCCUCUAAUCUCUGCAAAAGAAUCCAGUCAGCUAUCACGAGGUUCUAGUGGGACUCAAAUGUGGGAAAAAAAUAAAAUUUGCUACCUCUCUUGGAAAAAGCUGUCAAAGUCGAAACGAGAAGGAGGACUGGGCUUAGAGAAUAGAAAGUUUCAAUGACUCUCUCCUAGCAAAGCUAAGCUGGAGAAUUAUUCAAAAACCAUCCUCUCUGUUAGCUCGAGUUCUCCUAAGCAAAUACUGCAAGAAUCAAUCAUUUCUCCAGGAAAAAUCUCCUUCCUCAGCAUCACACGAAUGGAAAAGCGUUUUGAUUGGAAGAGACCUCCUCAGAAGCCAACUUGGAAACGUAAUCGGCAAUGGUAUGUCUACUUCCCUCUGUAAUGAUCCCUGGCUAUCCCUUGAAAAGCCACUCCAGCCUCUGGGACCUCCUACAGAAACAUCAAUGAAUCUCAAAGUCUCGAUUUUCUCGCUAAUAAUGGUAAAUCAUGGUGUAAAGAAAAGAUCAAUGAGUACUUACCAGAAUGAAAGGAUGAAAUUCUCGGACUCAAACCCAGUUGAACUGGAGCAGAGGCUGCUUAUGUAUGGCUCCCAACCAAAUCAGGAAUAUACUCCUCCAAGUCAGGGUAUCACACCUCAAUGAAGCUUUGUGAACCCAGUGAAGAGAGCUCCCCAACUGCUUUCAACUGGUAUUCUGAAAUCUGGUCAAGAAAAUUCUCUCUAAAGCUGAAGAUCUUCCUCUGGAAAUCAGCUCAAAUUCCCACGGGUGAAAAUCUCCUCAUCUGAGGCAUGCUAGAGAAAUCCUCAAGUAUCCAUUAUGGUGAACUUGAAUCAGUAUAACACUUGCUCUUUCACUUCCCUUUGGUCAAAAAGUCUGGAAUCUGGCACCUUUCAUGGAGCAAAUCGACUCUCUCAACUUCUCGGAUUUCAGUUCGGCUUUACAAACAUCCAAAAGACAUAUUUUUCUUCCACCGACGUGGCUGGGGUCAGGACCAUUAUUUCCCUUGGCUUUGCUGGGCAGUAUGGUCUACUUGGAACCACAAACUCUUUGAAAAUCAAAGCUUCGCAGAGGAGAAAACCAUCUCAAAGCCAUUAUUAAUGCUCAGUAGUGGCAAGCAGCCCAGAUCCUCCCUACAACCCCGAAGAAUGACACCUCCAUUGUCUAAUUCGAUCACCUGCAGUACCGAUGCAGCCUGGAAUGAAGAAACAAAAAUGGCGGGCCUCGGAUGGAUUUUCUCUGACCAAAUCGGCACUGAAGCCUGCAGAAGUUCCCUGACCGAGUAUGAUAUUGGAUCUCCCCUUAUUGUAGAAGCUCUGGUGAUCCGUGAUAACACUUGAUUUUGAUCACUUUUAUGGAUCACUUUCAGUAUCUUAUGCAGGUGUUUUCACUCAGUUUUAAAAGUUUUAUAAUUAUUUUCCAUGUUUUGGAGUUUUAAAAGGCUUUUCAGGAAACUUGGGACUUUGGAGUGCAUUUUGGAGCAAAAGUACAUUUUUAGAUAAAUUCAGACCGUCAGAAGUUUGUCAACCAAUGAAGACUUUCUCACCGUCUGAUCAUCCCCAAAGUUGGAGACAUUAUAGAGGAGACAACCAGAUUUCCAACACAAUUAGAAUCAAAGCAAUCCAACGGUUAGAACUCCAGAUAUCAUCAAUGCACUGAAGGCUGAUCAACACAAGUUCAGUCAAGCACAAGUGUUUUCACCCGCGGCCAGCCUUCUUCCCACCGCGGCUCAAGAGGUUUCACCCCUGGUGGACCUAUGUCCGAACCUCAGGAGCCCAACUAAGGCCCAAGACACUUCCUGCACCCAAUUUACAAGCCCUAGACACCCAAGACUUGGAGAAACACUAUAAAUACUCAUUUUUAGGUCUUUUGUAAGGGAGCUUCUUUCUUCUCCUCGAGAGAGAACUCAUUUGUAGUUUUUAAGUUUUAUUAGAUUUUGCGUCCACGCUACGCGUGGAUAUUUUGUUGAUAAAAAUUGUCUACAAUCAAUCAUAUUUAUUAAAAUAUAUUUAUAUAUUAGAAUUUUAAUAAUAUAUUAAAAAUAUUAUAAUGUUAAUAUAAUUUUUAUAUAAAUUUUGAGGUUUCAACAUUUUUUUUUAAUCUAUAUACAAUAUGUCUUUUUUCAAAAACGUACUAUUUGAUCAAAUACUUAUAAGUUAAUAUACUCAAACCGAUUAAAAAUUUUACAAAAUAAUCAAAUGCUACUAUUUAAACAUAGUAUUGACAUGACGAUAAAAUAUUAUGCAUUCACUUCUUCAAAUCAAGAAGAUAAUUGUUUUUCAUCAUUUUUACUUUCAUUCCAGUUAUAUAUGUACGUGAUCUUAAAAAAAUAAUACAAUUUUUUACUUUCAUUCCAGUUUUUCAUCAUUUUUAUAUAUGUUUUUCAUCAUUUAAAUUUAAUCUUUUUUAUUUAUUUAACCAAUACAAUUUUUUGAUAUAUUAAUUAAAAAAUAAAGUAAUAAAUAAAAAUUUUGCUUUGAGAUUAAUAACAACUUAAAAUUCAAAACCAAAAAUAGUUGAAUAUGAAAUGAUUAAAAUCACACAAAAUUUGUGAACUAAAUUUAUUUUUGUCAAUUGGUUAUGUUAACUUUUAAAUAAUUUUUCAUGAAUGCAUGUCCACAGAUUUGUAAACUGAUUCUUACCUCAUCCGUACUUCACAUUCAAUAUUUUGGAUACACUUCACACUUAAAAGUUUUAAAGUUAAUUUUUAAAAAUAAAUAAAUAUUAACAAAAAUAAAUAAAUAUUUAACAAACGGAUAACGGAUAACGGAUAUCCUGUUUCAAAAUGUUUUAUUAUCCGGAUCCGUAUCUGAAAUAACCGAAUACUUAAUUUCACUAUCCGGAUCCGGAUCCGAACUACACGAAUAUUCGGCUUUUACGGAUCGGAUAGGACCGGAUACCAGAUCGGAGACCGGAUACUGGAUAAGAAUUCCAGGCCAAAUUAUACCUCAUCUCUUUUAAUAAGAAUGAAAAAUAAUUUUCAUCAUGUUUAUUUUGAAAAAUAAUUUUCAUCAUGUUCAUUUUUUAUUCUUGUUAAAUCUGUAUUUUUUUCAAUAAAUAUAUCAUUUUUAUUUAUUUAAUAAUUUAUUUUAUGAUUAUAUUCAGUUUCAUCAUAUUCAUUGUCACUUCUUCUAAUUAUAAUCAAAUAGACAAAAUUGGUAUAAUUUAAUAAAUACAAAUUUAGAAAAAUGAAUAGCAAAGUGAAUAACUCAAAACUAAUAACUUCUUCGUUAAUCUAUUGUAAUUCCAAGUCGAAUAUAAAAAUAUAUUUUUUUCCAAUCAUUUUUACAUAAUAUAUUAUAUAAUAUUAUGUGGAAAUAUGUUUUGUAUAUGUGAAAAAAAUUUAGAUGUAUAUAAAUCAUAAAUAUUAAUUAUUUAAAAUUUUACUUGAAAAGCCUUUAAAUCAAGUAACUUAAACUUAUAUAAGAAGUAUAUUUUAUUAUAUAUAAAAAAUAAAUUUGUAACUAAAACAGUGAUAAUGGAGAUUUUAAUAUCAUGGUAGUUUAUUUUUGUUGUUAAUGGAGAUUUUUUUAAAAAAAUUUUUAACCAUUAUAUUAGGAUUUGGAAACUUUUUUAAUUUUUAAAUGUUGAUAUUGAUGCCUUAAAAAUAAUAUGGCUAAACUGUUAUUAAUAAUAUAAUAGUUUAAAUUACAAAUUUUCCUAUAUUGUUUUGUAUUACCAAUGUAAUUUUAUAAUUUAAAUACUUUUUAAAUUUUAAUUAUUGAUGUGGACUAAAAACACUGACCUUUUAAAUCUAAUGAAUGUCUUUGGAGGCAUAUAGCUUCAGCUUUUAUUUUUCUAUAAAUAUUUUUUUUGUAAACAAUACAGUUUUAAAAUUUUAUUUUUUUUUAAUUUUAAAUAUUGAUAUGAACCAAUAGAAUUGAAAUUUUAAAUCCUAUGUAGACACUCUUAGAGGCAUAUAGCUUCAAGUUUUAUUUGUAAUAUAUUUAGAUAUUAACGCUGGAAGAUCCCACAAGAGGCCAGUUGCGGCAAGUGAUUUUGUUUUCUCCUCCACAUUUUGAGGCUUACGGAAUGUAUUCUGAUACUGCUUGGUUUAGCUAAUUGUUAUCUUUGUGGUUCAGGUUGGAUUGCUAAACCCUUGUCAGAUGCCAUGUUAUUCCAAAGAUUUUCCUCGGAUACCUCAGUCUCUUUUGCCUUAAUGCGGAACCUCUUUCUCUAUUUUUAAUAGUUCGUUUUUCAAAAUUUUUGGGUAUCAAUCACUUGACAUGUUUCUCGGAUUACUUGAAAUUUAUCAUUCUUUUCAAAUCUGGUAGCAAAACUUUAGAGAUUUUACGGUCUCUUUUUCAAUAUUAAAGCAGCUUGUAGUGGCUUUGUUUUCAUCAUAUUCUUUUUAAUUUAGCUAAUAGUUAAACAUAGUUUAGUCAAGUUGGUUCUUAAUUUUACAUUGUAAUGAUUCAUUCUUUAGUGAAACAUAACUCUCUUUUUUUUUUGCUUUUUUUAAUUGAAAUGGUUGUACACACAUAAAGAAAACUUAAAAUUUAUUAUAGUUAUGUGACAAAAAUUUGGAUGCUAAUGUAGGAGUCUCUAAAUAUAUGUGUAUACAUAUAUAAAUAAAUUUUAAUAUUUUAUUUGUUCUUAGUUAUUUAUAUAAUUGAAACAUCUAAUUUAAUUUUAAAUUUUCUUAUGUUAAAAUUAUUUAUUUUAUUUUAUUAUUAUUAAUAUAAGUUGUAUAUAUAAUUUAUUCAUCUUUAAUAAUUUUUUAAACAAUAAUAGAAUUUAGAAACUUUUUUAUUUUUAAUGUUGAGUUGGACCAAUAAAAAAUUUAUACAAAAUUUCUUUAUUCAACAAUAAUAUUAGAAUUUAUAAAAAAAAUUUUAAUUUUCUUAUUUAACACUAAUAUUAAAAUUUAAAAAUUUUCUUAUUUUUGAAUGAUGAUGUGGACCAAUAAAAUUGUUAAUUUUCUUAUUUAACAAUAAUAUUAAAAUUUGGAAAUUUCCUUAAUUUUGAAUGGUGAUGUGGACCAAUAGAAUUGCCCUUUUAAAUCCUAUGUGGACGCCUUGAGAAGCUUAUAGCUUCAACUUUUAUUAGUAUAAGAUUUUAUGCAUUUGUAGAAGCUCUUCAUCUCCAUUCUGUCUUCAAUAAGAGAAGGUUUUCUGUAACUUUUGUUUCUUUACUUUUCUUCUUUUCUUCUUUCUAGUUCUAAACCGAUGACGAUGUCUAUCUCAGCCAUGUCUGAGUAGUCACCUAGUUGGGUGAAAGGGUAAUCCAAAGGGACCCCAUAUUCAAAUGACAUCUAGGUUUUUACGAAAAAGGAUUUCGAUUUUUAACAUGAUUCUCCCAUUCAUCCAAAUCUCAAAGCGGUAAUUCUGGAUUGAUCACCCAGAAUCCGAUCCUAGGUUAAAUCCGAGCCACGAGAGUGUUGUAUCUGGAUUGUCUGAACUGGAUCUUAUGGACGUCACUGUCGUAGGAGACGAAAGAUACCUACGGAGGAUACGUAAGCCAAGAUGGAUUCCGAUCUACAAAGCAUGAUCUUGUUCUGGCAUGAGAGCGAGAGUUAAUUGCCAUGAACAAGUGAUUAGAUGAUUAGGGUGACGAAAGUUGGCUAAUCUUACAUGUGUCUAUCCUAGUUUCAGAGUCAUAGAAAAUCAUUGCCUAAAUUCCUUGUGUUUUAUUACAUGAACCCUAAAGAUGAACCUUAAAUCCAGCGCCGUUUUUUAUAUAGUUUUCAACCGAUUUUUAUUUCCAGCUUUUAAUUCUCUGCAUAAUUAGAUUUAGUGACAAACCAAAACCCGUUUUUAUUAGAUUAGGUUUACGAUUGUUUUUAGCAUCAGUUAGAAGUCCUCAACACACAAAUCCAUGUGGAUUCGAUCCCUAAGUACUACUGUGUUUGUUUUGCACUUGCAACUUGUCUAGGGUAAAACUGGUGUUGCCCACUGCACCCACAUCAAUCCGAUCAGCUCUCCUCCAUGUGCGUGAUCUCGGUCCCUCAAAUCUCGUCAUUAAAUGGAGCCAUGCCUUGCAUAUAUCAAAAAAGGCAAUUGCCUUACACCACCAAAAUUUUUUCUAGUUUUAAGGACCACAUUUUCUUAUAACUUUAACCAAAUAUGUAAGAUACAUGAUUUUGUUUGUUAUAUAUAGUAGAAGAACAUUAUGUAGUUAUAUAUGAAUGUUUGAGACACAACUACAAUAAAAGUAUUAUGAUGUUUAAAAGUUCGUUUUGUUUUAAGAAACUAUAAUAGUAUUAACAUCAAAUAAACGAUAAAUAAAAAUACAUAUUUAAACAUAUAAAACAAUAAUAUAUUUUAUGAUUCGCUUUAGGCCUUCAUAAGGCUAGGCACGGCACUGAACUCAUAUCCGAUGCUCAGAUCCUUGUCCAAGCUCUGUUAACCGGUGAUCAGAUCAAGGAGCUCUACGGUCUCCUCUCCGACAUCAAUUGCUUGAUGUCUCUGUUUACCUCUAUAUUGUUUUUUUUCGUUCGUCGUUUAAACAAUAUGUCGGCCGAUGCUUUAGCUAAAUCGGCCCUCCGUGAGUUACUACCUACCUGCUUUAAUGUGUAACCGUAUUUAGUUUAAAUGAAAGUGUUGUUCAAAAAAAAAUAUAUAUUUAGAUAAAUCUUUUUAGUUUGAAUAUUUUGCUCUUCAUGAAAAAAAAAUAAAAAAAAAACACAUAUAAUUUUUACUUAUUAUUUUUACCGUUUAAAGUUUUAUUAUGAUAUAUCCAAACAUAAUACAAACAGAAUAAACUGAAUACUUAGAGGGGGUUAUUGGUUCUUGCAUUUUAAUGGAUUUGGAAAUUCUUCUCAGAUUUGGAAUUCCAUAAUGAAUCCAAGGAUUUAGAAAUCCUUCUCGAAUUAUACAAGUGAAUUUGAGUUGAUUUCAAAAUCAAAUAAGUUGAUUACUGUAAAUCAAUCAAAUGGAUUUACAAUAAUUUUAGUCUUAUAAUAAUAUAAAAAAAUCAAAAACAAAAACAAAAACAGACUUUUUCAUCCUUUUUCUUUCACUUGUCAUCUAUUAAUUUCUUAAACUAUAGUAUCUGUCCACAUCUUUGUUGCAAUCGUCGCUCUCAGUUGAUUGACAUAUUCUCUUGUGAUUGCACGUCGAAUUGGACGUUCAAUUUGCAGUUGAAGUUCUCGUUGUAGUCUUUUCCUCAAACAUAUCAUUCGACAGAAAAUUAAGAACACCAAUAAAAUUAUAUCGGCAUCUAAUUCUCUUUCUUCAAGAAGUAUUGGAUUCAUAUUUGAUAAAAUAUAACGUUGACAAAACAGAAAACACAUCCCAUUAAAAAGUAAAAACCAGCAAAAACAUAGUUAAAUUUGACAAACACAUCUGAAGAUAAUUCUAUAAUCACUAUGUGUUAAUAAAAAUGAACUUCCUUGAAGAGUAGUAAAGCCAAGUGUAAAGAGCAAGAGACAAGAAAUACCUACAAGUGCAUGAAUUCUUUAUUAUUUUUUUUUGGUGGUGUGUAGGUGUCUUUCUCUUCGUCUUCAGAGCAAUUCAAUUAACCAAAAUUAUUGUUUAUGUAAAUUGUACAUUUUUUUAUUAUGGUACGAAAGUAAAGUUGUUUUUGGAAAACGCAGAAGAUUGUCAUGGGAUAUGCAAGUUCAGACAUUGGCUCGAUUCUUGAGUUUCACAGCUUAGAGACUUAGAUUAGGCAUUCAUUGGUCAAUAAUGGCACAACACCAUAUCUUUCACCGAAUCUGUAAUAGUCUUUAACCAAAUGUUGUCAACAUUGUAUGGCUACAAAACAUUCUUUAAAUCACUUGUCAGUUAUCCCUUUUUUUAUUGUUUUUGUACACCUUCUUCUUUACUUUUUUUUCUCAAUAAUACAAAUCCAACCAAAUACGAGGUUCUACUAAAUAUUUUCUCCUUUGUAUUUUACUCUAAAACACUUGUAAAUCCAUUCAAAUCCAAAUUAAAAUCAAAUCCUUAUGCAAAUCCUUACCAUUGAAUAACACUUGAUUUUAAAAUCUAUUUUAAAAUCAGAGAACCAGUAACACAAGAUUUGAUUAAAUCAUAGAACCAAUAACACUGAAGUUAGUUUGAAUUUGCAAAUUCAUUAAAAUGCAAGAACCAAUAACACCCUCUUAGUUUGAAAUUUACAGAAGACAAAGCCGGUGCAAAAAUAUUAUAUCCCCAGAGACAGACCAUUAUUACUUAUCCAAUAAAUAUAUGAUUUUGAUUGGGGAAUAAAAGUUUGGGUUCCAUAUCUCAAAUAUGAUGAUUAUUUUGUUUCAUACUAAUAUUUGUAAUAAUCAUUUUAGGCUCCACGACUGGAGUAGAGCAUUUAACGCGGCAUGAGACGAACCGGUUUCGGUCAAGGCUGAUUCGGCUGCGUUCUUCAUCGCUUUGGUUUUUUCUCUAACCGGACCAUCCUGCAUUAUCUCCCGAACUCGUUUCUCCACCUCCGUAGAGCUCACAAAACCCGUCUCCAAUUCAUUCAUCGGAAUUGCAAUUUUGAUCUCAUCAACAAUCACUACUCUGUUAAACCUCUGCUCAGCGUACAAAGGCCAAGCCACCAUCGGUACGCCUAUUUUUUUGUAAACCAAUUGAAUUAAUUAUAACCGCUCACUCUACACAUAUAUCAUUGAAAUGUGUAUAUAAAUAUUCAAACCGAACCAAAUUCCAAAACUGAAUCCAAACAUAGUUAUAAAAUUAUCCGAAUGGAAAUAUGGAAUAAAAAUGUCUAUACCGAAUUAUCCAAUUUUAAACCAAACUUAACCUAAAUUGUAUGAAACCAAAUGAAAUUAACCAAAUUAACCGACUAACUGAAAUUCAAAAAAAAAAUAAUACUUUUAAUUAAAUAUAUAAAUAUCAUUGAAGAUUAAUUUAGCUAAUUAUAUUUUUGUUAUAAUAGUUUCUCCAAAACAGAACAUAACUCGAACCGGCACCAAACCAAAUUAUUAAAAACCGAACCACUGCUAUAAAAGUUAAUCUCAAAUAUGACUUAUUUUCUACAAUCAAAAAAAUCCAAAAACCAAACCCAAAUCGAACCGAAUCAAAUAACCGAAUGGCCUAAAUUUUUAACUCACCUGCACAAACCGAUUCGAGAAUAGAAUUCCAGCCACAAUGAGUGACGAAUCCACCGAUAGAUUUGUGAUUCAGAACCGGAACUUGCGGAGCCCAUGAUUUAACGACCAUUCCUCUAUUUCCGGUUCGGUUUAAGAAUCCUUCCGGUAAAAGAGUUUUCAAGUCCGGUUCAGCCAUGCUAUCUAUCUCCGGUGGAUUACGAACCACCCACAAGAAUCUCUCCUCACUUCUCUCUAAACCAAUAGCAAUCUCAUUCACCUGUUCCUUUGAAAACAAACCCAAGCUCCCAAAACAGAGGAACGCAACACUCUGUUCCGGCAGCGAAUCAAGCCAAUCCAAACAAGAACUUGCAUUGUCUCCAUGGUUAUCACCGGUUCUUCCUCGAACAAUGAGCGGUCCGAUCGGAUAAAUAUUGCGAAAACAGAGCUCCUCUGUUAUUGCCUUGAUAGCUCUGUUCUCUAAAGCAUCAAAAGUAUUGACGAUGAUCCCUGAAGACUUAGAGAGCUGUUUGCAGAACAUUAUAAAAGCAUCGUAGACCUCGUCGUCGCGCUCGAGCACGGCCUUAGGCAUAUCGGAGCCUUUCAUCGGAGGAACGCCGGGAAUAUGGAGUGUUUCAAUAUCUAUGAGGUUUUUUCCUUCGGUUGUCUCGUGGAGGAUCGGGAGAUAGAAGGAACCGGUUAGAUAUGCGGCUCCGGAGGCUAAAAAGUAGUAAACCGGGAAGGUGAAAUCGGCGGUCACGUCUAAAACGGCGGUGCAGAAAAAGUCGAUGAUCAUUGCGUGGAGAUUGAAGUUUUGAGAGAGCGAGAAAAGGGUUUUGUGGACGUUUGGGUUGCUGAAACAGAGGAUUUCUAAGAGGAGUGACUCGUGGUGGUGGCGUGAGGUGGAGGUGGAGGAGUAGGGUGUGACGGCGGGGAGGUGGUGGAAGGUGAUUGAAGGGAAGGAGGAGGAGACGGUGGAGAUGUAAGUGGCGGUUGAUUCCGGCUGAUAAGGCGGUGGAGCUAAGAGGAUGUGGAUGGAGAGAGAUGGGUUUUGGGAGAGUAUGAGUUUGCCUAACUCAACCAUGGACACUAAGUGACCUAUUGGUGGUGCUGGAUACAGAACUAUAGCUUCUUGUUUUCCCAUGGCCUUGUUUUUUGUGAGUUUUGUUGCAAGAAUGAAAAACAAGAACGUGAUUAAGUAGAAGGAUGAACAUGAUGAAAUGGUUUAUUCUCAUACAGCUCUCUGAUUGAGAUUUUUCAUCAACUCUUUUGGAAGAAAAGUAAUAAAAGAUGGACGAAGUUCCAAAAAAAAAGUCAUAAAAAUGGACCAAUUAGAAGAAUCAGUACAUUGGAUCAGUACAAUGGAUUCCAACUCUUUCGAAAUAUAAUUUGCGAUUUUGCCAUAAUGAUGCCGUUAUUGGCGGUUCAGAAUGGUGAUAGCUAAUGACCAAAAUGCAAUUUCUUUGUUGUAUGACAAUAUACAUACACUCGUUGAAAAUUGAUGAUUACAGUCUUAAUUUCUAUGGAAAGAAUCAGUAUAUUAGAUUUCUAACCGUAUAACAUAUUUACACCUUACUCGGGAAUUGUACCAAUAUUGUACAACAAAGAAAACAUGUGUUUAUGUUGCAACGUAUUAUUUGGUGUUUCAUCUAACAUGACGAUCAAGAAAAGAAACUAACAAUAUUGAUAUUUUGUUAGUAAGUAACACCUCUCAGAAUAAAGUAUCUUCAAAAUUUACCUUUUUGGUUUUUUGUUAUCUCAUAACUUUUGUAAUCUGUACUCGAUAAGACUUUGUUCGGCCGGAUUUCGUUUUUUCUUUAUUGUACCAACCUUCGUUCAAGAGUGUUUCUUUGAAGAUUUUCUUGCAAGUAGUCUACUUUCAGGGAUUGUGUUUGCGUGUUUGUAUUUUUCGUGUGUAUUACUUGAUUGUUUACAUUUUUUAAAGGUUUUUUUCCCUUUUUUUGUUGAUCAUAAUUUGUUAGCGAAUAAAAUUUAUCUACGGAAAAUAUCGUUAAAUUAAUAUUUUCUUUUGUAUUUUUUUAUUAUAUAACUGUUUAUGUAAUAAUUUGUAUUCCAAAAGUUAUGUAUAACUUUGUCAUCAUAAUUUGAAAUUAAUAAAAUUGUUUGCUGUAAAAAAAAAUCUCUUUAUUCAUGUAAUCAUGUAACUCAUCAUUUAAUUGAUUCAAGCAAAUCCUUUAUAAAAAAAAAUAGCUUUGUAAUUGGUUGUAUUUUAAUUAUUUUAAGCACUUUUUAAUUUUUAUAUAACUUUCGAUAAGAUAGAUUAGGCCUGGGCAUUCGGAUAUUCAGUUCGGUUUCGGUUCGGAACCAAUCGGUUCCGGAUAUUUCGGGUAGAGGAAGUUAGGAUCCAUCAGAUAUUUUUAUAAAUUUCGGUUCGGGUUCGGUACCUUUAUUUCGGUUCGGUUCCGGUUCGGAUAAUCGGAUCCGGAUCUUUUGCCUCAAAUUUUUAAUUCGACUCACACUUUUUUAAUAAAAAAAAUUCAAAAAUAUAUAUAUCAAAACUUAAAAAUAUACCCAAAAGUCCCAAAAAUAAAGAAAAUAUGUCUGUAAAACCAGAAAUAUAUACCAAAUAUCAAAAAUAUCAAAAAAAAAACUAAUAUUUAGAAGGAUAUAUAAUUAUACUUUGGAUAAUUCGGGUACCCAAUCGGUUCUCGGUUCGGUACUAGUUCGGUUCCGGUUCUUCGGGUAUAAGAGUUUAAGAUCCAUCGGAUAUUUUUAAAAAUUUCGGUUCGAAUUCGGUACCUCUAUUUCGGAUCCGAUUCGGAUAUUCGGAUCCGGGUUUUUUGCCCAGGCCUAAGAUAGAUGUUUAAAACAAAAAAUCAAUCUAGUCAUGGAUUGGGCCAAUGGGUCUACUCUAACCCACCAAAAUAAAAUACCUACGGCCCAAUUUGGGUAUCAAAAUUAGCAAUGAUCGUCAUAAGAUCCAGACCGUCCAAAAUAGGGAUCUCAAAAACCCCACUAAACCUCAAUAGAUUUUGUGUUUGCCUCUUGAAGUAACGAAAUUCUUAAAACCAUAAACUUUUUCACCUUUCUUCGUCGUUAUUAACUGGUACGCUUCUGCGAAUUCCACGGAUUGGGUCUACUUUUUGGAAGCUAAUACAUGUUUUUUCUUAAUCUAAUUGCUCAGUCGAGUGAUAUGGAGAAAGAUUUUGGGUUUAAUUGUUUGUGUGAUGAGUUUAUCUUUGGAUACAAUUUGGGUGAAGCUGCUUAAUUUUGUGAUUAAGAACUUCCUUUAGAGCCAUUAAAUUUCUGAAUAAAUGUCUCUAAUUUAGACUUUUUUUAUGUGGUAAAAGAAUUAAACUUUGUUCUAAAAUCAGAAAAUUUCAGAGGAUCGAGUUGGUUAUUAUUCAAUAUUUUGGUAUAUAACUUAGAUUUUGAUGCUAAUGAAACUUAUGCUUAAACUCAGUAUUUGUUUAUUCUAUGGAAGCUUUAAACUUUUCUUGUUAACAGUUUAGGAAUUUGUUGGAAAUUCGAUUUAUGUGUACAUUAACAUUUUUUCAGUGUCUCAAUCGAAAUCGAAGAAACCAAUUCAAGAACCUUAACGUUGUGCAAAAGAUUCAUCGAAAAUGUCAGAUAUAGUAACACCAGGAGAUGUACUCGGGAAUGCGACUGAGUUCAAAGCCGGGAAAGGAGCUUAUGUCAACGACAAUACCAUCUACGCUUCCCUUACAGGAUCACGCCGGAUUGUUUCUCCUCUUCCGGAUUCACCUGACCAGGUCUCUGCAUUUUUUCAAGUGAUUUCACUGAUUGGUUGUGUAGAAAUCGUCGAUGUAAAUGGUCAUUUAUUGAUCCUUGUGUGUUUGUGAUUAUAUAUAUGCAGAGAGCUAUUGUGGAAGUUACAGGUCACAAGGCACAUGGACUUAUCCCGGAGACUGGUUCUGUUGUCACAGGAAGGGUAAAGUCUGCAUUUUUUAUAUCAUUUGGAUUUGAUGUCAAUUACUUUCAAAAAGUUUGAUCCUUUAUUCUCUGUUAUCUUCUUGAUAGGUUACUAAAGUUACAGCUCGGAUGGCUUCUGUUGAUAUCUUGUGUGUUGGUCCAAAGGCUGUUCAUGAAAAAUUCGCUGGCAUAAUCAAGUGAUUUCUCCUGCUCCUUAUUUUCGAAGUUUUAGUGUUUGUAAUGUGUAAAUCUAACUUGUGUUUGCUUCUUUACAUAGGCAACACGAUGUUAGAGCAACGGAGGUCGACAAAGUUGAUAUGCUUCUGUCUUUCCGUCCUGGUGACAUUGUUAGAGCUAUGGUUGUAUCCUUAAUUGCGUAUAGAUGAAAUUUGGAACGAUAUUUAUAAGAUUUGUUACAUUAUGACGUCCAUUUUCUCUUUUUUUUUUCACUUGUACAUCGUAUAUAGUUUAAUUUGGAUGUAGAUUAGUUGUAGUCUAAUGAUAGCAUCUGAAGUUGCCUUAACUUGUACACUCUUAAAGCUGUCUCUUGGUGAUGCAAGGGCUUACUACCUGUCUACUGCUAAGAAUGAGCUUGGUGUGGUCUCAGCAGAAAGUGCAGCAGGUAAAUUUAUAGUAUAGAGUCUGUAACCUAUCUGUAACAUUCAGCUUCCAACUUGUACUUCCCGUUUUGGAAUUACAGGAAUCGAAUAUGUUGUAAAUGCAUGUACUUCUUUUGGUAGUCUUUCGAGAUAAUGUCUAUAUCCUUUCUGAGUAAUGAAAAGUUACUGUUGUUUGGUGAUUGUGCAGGUGAAACAAUGGUUCCGAUUAGUUGGACAGAGAUGCAGUGCCCAUUGUCGGGCCAAACCGAGCAGAGAAAAGUUGCCAAGGUCGGUUAGUUGAAUUCAAAGGCGAUAUUUGGCUUCUCUUAUAGAAUGAUGUGUGGUCUCUGCAACCUGUGAGGUUAUUACAAUGUUGAGCUCUUGUGACUUUCUUUUAGCGUACACUUAUGUGGAAACGGUAGGUUUAGCCUGGAACAACUUGAAUUACACUGAUUGUUGCAAUUACUUGAAGAUGCAAUAUACAGUUCCUUUAUAACAUUGUCACUGUCGAUGAAAGGGUUGAGAGAUAAUGGAGUUUAUGUGAAGCCGUUGAUUUUUAUAUUGCAUUGAUAAAUGGUGACAACGAUUGGCAUAAUCAGGGACGUUGAAUUUUAAAUGUUUGUUUCCCAAGAAACAAAAUGUUAGUUUUAGUUUCAUGGAUCAAUUGAUUGUCGUUUUGGGACUAAUCAUGAGUAAAUUUAAAAGCAUUAUCUAUCAUAAAUUGAGACUACAUCAAAAGCAUAAAGGUAACAUGAACAUUUUUGUUUACAAGAAGAACAGUGAUAGAAGGGUUCAUUAUCAUUCUCUCCUCCGCAAAAGACGACAUUUUCCAUCAGAAUACUCCGGUGCUUCACCUUUAAGGAGUGGUAGAGUGAUUUCUCUCUGGCGGGAGGUUUCUCUGACGGAUGUGAUUCUGUGCCAGUCUCUCAGCUUAUCUUUACCAUUUGAAGCAUUAGGGCGUGUAAAUUCUGAUUUAAAAAGCUUGGAUUCCAAGUAACGUAGUGUUUACAUAUCUUGUUGUCAACUCAAGUUUUUCUCAAUCUCAGUUCUUUAAGUUUGGCAAACGUGUACGAAGGUUCGUAUUCGACUUUGUUUCACCGGAAAGCAUCAUAAUGUGUUUGUGCUUGACAAAGAAGUUCAAAAUCACCAGAAUAUGUGUAAUAUGAAGCAAUCACCAAACGUAUUACUACACAUUCAAAAUCAAAAUUUCAAACAGAGUAUAAUAUCCAGAAAAUUUUCAGACAUUAUAGUACCUAUAACAGAAACUGUUCGAGCUUACAACAAAAACAAAAACUUGGACAAAACUAAAGGGCAAGUGAGACAAAACAGCAGAACCAUGCCAAAACCUUUUGUGAUCAAACCUCGAGUGUCGAAUUGAACGCAAAUCACUCAGCCAUGUCCUCUUCAUCGUCGUCUUCUUCUUCCUCAGCACUGAGGUCAAGCUCAGCAAGCAACUCUUCGAUAGGCACAGAAGGUGCGCCUUCUCCAUCAGUCAUCGAAGCAGUCUCGGACUCUUGAUAAUCCUUGUUCCUGUACAAGGAAAUGUUGAACCUUAACUCAGGGUUCUCUUCAAGAUCCCUCAAAAACUCUUCAUACUCCUUCUCAUUCUUCUCUGGAUCAACCCUGCCUCUUGAAUCAUCCACUUCCAUCGGAAGCUUCUUAACCUUCCACGAACGUGUUUUCUUCUGCUUCCUCUCUCUAUGCUCGUCGUAGCAUUUCUUGAUCAGAAUCGCUUCAGGAAGACCAUUCUUCACACUCAGACGGUAUUUCUCCAUUUCAUUGUCGUUCACAUUUGCUCCGUAAAUGUCAUAGCCUAGAGCUUGAUCACCUGGCUUAAGAAUGUGUCCUAGAUGAGUUUGGACAUAAAACAUCUUACCAAUGUCUGAUUCACGUGCGAUUUGGACAUAAGAUAGAGCAUACUUUUGUCCGCCGACAGUAGCUUCACCAACAGGUGGUUCCACAUCAAACACAAAGUACUUCACGAGCUGUCUACUUGUUAACGCGGAUCGAAACCCUGAUCUCCAGUACUGCCUCGCGUCCAAGAACGCACACCUUAAGGUUCUAGGAUCAAGCAGAGUGAUGUUAUCAGAUACUUUCGUGCACACCACAAGCGGACCAAGGUUUCCUAAACCGCUAGCAACUUUCUGAGGCAAGCAAACAAGAUCCUCACGGCAAAUGGGACAGAUUUUAACAGAGUAAGUGUACUUGUAGUUGUACAAGCUGCUCUUGACAUCAUGAGACACAAGCUGCUGGUCCUGACGAUACUCAAUCGGGACAACUUUCCGUAGAAACUCCACAAAGCUAUUAGCAUGACUCUUAUUCCCAAAGAAGAAAUCAAUCCCUUGAUCAACCUGCUGAAUCCUGAUGGCUCGUGAAGCUGCAUCAUGCCUAAGAAUCAACUGUUCAAGGUAAAAGAAAGUCCUCCUGUGAGAUACAUGCUGCCUAAGCUGCACAGACGCAACCCACUGAUCAGGGUUAGCCUGAAACCUCGAGCAAGACUCACAAAGAUUGUCUCUCACAGUGUACUCAACAGGGUAAGACUGCUCAAGCACAGCUCCGUUAAGAACCUCGGCUUGAACAGUCAGCUUCACUUUGAUCCUCUUGGAGUGAGGCUCGGUCCAGACGAACUCAGCGUUCUUCAGCUUCACUUUGUUGAGAUUCUUGAGCCUCUUGAUGCAGAAAGUCAAGAGCUCUUUCGAUUCCCAUUGAGCUUUGAUCCAUGUUUUUGGUGGCUGCAAGUAGCAACCGCACUCAGGGCAGUAGAAGAUUUGGAUGCUUUUCUGCAAACCUUCGGUGAUGUCGACUUCUGAACGGAGACAGUUUACACACAUGUUUGCUGCGUUUGGUGGCAUGGGAACACCACACUUGCAACACAGAACGCUUCCUAUGGUUUGUUGAACCUUGAACAUCCCUGAUUGUUGAUCCAUUACUGACAUCUGUAACAUUCAUACACAGAUACUGAAAUCAAAUUAAAAUGAAGAAGAAGCAAUUACAAGAUCGAUAACACAAACACACCGAGAAAAACCUAGCAAUAGCCACAGAAAGCAACAACAAGAUCGAUGACAAAACACCAUUUCCAGAAAUCGAGAGCUCACGAAAUUAGGGAUUCUGUAUCGCAGUGACCGAUUCGACGGAAAAAAUAUAGAUUCCGACUAGUGCCGAUUAGAUUUUGAUUUGUCUAGGUUAAAAUAUUCUGCAAGAGAACGGGAACGCCUAUGGAAGAUUGAUACGAGCCUUAAAGGAUCGAGAAAUGUAAAGGACGAUGAAAAUCGAAGAAGCUUUCCCUUACCUGAGCGAGUUUGAGAAAGGGAGAAGGCGGCGCGAUGCAGAGGGAAGGAGAAGAGCCAAAAAGAGCGGCGAAGAUUUUUUUUUCUUUCUUAAAACUUUGGUAUGAGGCUUUCUUUUUUUUAGGGUUGGGCUGAAAGAAAACGAAGUGUAAAUUAUGUAUUUUUGUUAAAAUAAAAAAAGAUUUCAGCAACACACAUUUGAUUUGAAUAUUGCUUCUAAGACAUCGACCGACAUCAAGAGGGCUCAAUCUAGAAUGGUUUGUAUUACACGAAACAAAUAAUAUGUUAUUGUUAUGAAUUAUUAAUUAGAUGCCCUAAAGCCUAUAACUAUUAUUGUAUUUGUCCAACAUCGGAAAUUUGUAGUGGUGACUAGAUCUUUGUAAUAUUAUAUAUACCUCUCAUUCUUCCUGGAAUAAGAUACACCAAUUUCCUCUUUCUCUCGAUAACUGAUUUACAACACGUUAUCAGCGUGAUCGUCUCUUGAUCUGUUCUCACACCGAAAAGGUGAGAGAUAGUUUAAAAUUUUACUCCGGGAUAAUAAGUUAUUAUUUCCCCAAAGAAGGAAGACUAUACCUCCUUCUCUAUGUUUAGGGUUUAUGAUUUUUGUCAUACAAAUUGUCUUAUCCUAAAUUUACACGAUUUUAUAAUCUGCUCUAUUUAUGAUCCGUUUUUGCACGGCAAAAUUAUAAGAACAUUUGUAUAUGCCCUAUCUUUGCACGGCGGCGAGAUUAUAAGAGCAUAAUAUAUGCCCUAUCUAAAAACGAAUUUUGCACAAAAAAAUUAUAUUAUGCUUUAUUACAAAAUUUGCACAUUCAUAUCAUAUGAAAUUGUUUGAUGACUUGAUUAAUUAAUUGUUCGAUCUUUAUACCUCAUUGUUCAAAGAGUUUUAUUAAAAUUCAUUAAACUGUGAUUUUGAUUUUUAAAAGCAAAUAUGAUUUUUAAGUUAAUUAAGGUUUUGAUUUAAACUUGAUUUAUCUAACCUAAUUACUUUACAAAACCGUGGAGAAUUGUUUUGAUUCCCACAUGAUUUUAAUUGUAUAGUUUAAUUCACCGAAAAAAUCAAUUCACAUGCUUAGAUAUUACUCAAUCUCAUACAUGAAUUGAAAUGUAUUAAUUGAAAGUGAAGAUACAAUCGUUGGUUUGGUAUUGAUAUUACUUGGUUAGUUUGGAAAUUACGUCUUAGAUUGAGAAUUUUAUUUUCUUUAUUUGGUUUGGUUUGGUACACCAUGGUUAUUUUAUAACCUUGUGCACAUGUUAUUAUUAUAAGUUAACGUGUAUGUGUGGCAUGAUUAAUAAUUGGUUUUGAUUCAAGCAAUCCGUGAAUAUGUGCAUAGAUAAUUACAAUAAGAAUAGAAUAUGUAUAUGCCAAGAAUGAUGUUAAACUUGAGUUAAAAAUAUUAUAUCAAAUAAAUUCUGAAUUUUCUGUGGUAUCUCUUAUUUAUGUUAAAAGAAAAUACUAUUUUGUUAUUUUGAUUGAAUGAUCAUUAUCUUUUGUUCACAUAAUUUGAUAUAUUCUUAUGAUUAAAUUAUAUUUGUGUGUUAUUGCCUCUUGAAUGAUGUAAGAUCAAGUACUUGACCGAAAAAGAUCUACAAGAAAUUUAGAGCAAUUAAAAGAAAAUGUAUAAUCACUAGAAUGUGAUAUUACACUCAUUAUGAUUGGUUGAAUCUAAAAUUACAUGACUUGAAGUCUGUAAGUGAGUUUGACUCAGCUAUGUUCAGAUAUUAUGUGAAGAUAAUAUUGUUGAUGCAGAGAUGUUAAAAGACAUACUCUACCAUUUUGAGAAUGAUAUGUUGUCCUGGAGACACAAUACUCUACACUUUGAGAAGUGUUAUAAACUUGUAUAUGUGUCUAAAAGAGGCUGAGCAACAUAAUGAGUUAGAAAGAAAAAAAAAAUCAGGAUACGUUUCUGAUUUUAGAUAGUCCAUUUCCUGAAGUAAAUGUGACAUCCUAUAUUGAGAAAGAAAAGACCACAUGGUUGAUAAAGGCCAAAUAAAUGGCUAUGGAAGUGGUUGCAGACAUUAAUGUGGAUAUGGAUGUGGAUAUAGUCAAGGUCAAGCUUGAGGCCAAAGAGAUUCUUUUAAGAACUCAGAUACUCACUAGAAGUGAAAAAAUAUAGAUGGUAACAUACAAGAGAUCUAUCAUAUGAUGAUAAAAUAAACUAGUGUGAGUACAAGAUGAGAUUGUAUAAAAUAUUGAAAGCUCCAGAAGAGCAGGUAUAAUUGCAUAUGGAAAUGAUUUGGAAUCAUUAAUGGAUUGUACUCCCCCAAGUCUCGAAAGAUUAAGAGAAUCUAAGAUAUACUACAAAACCCAAGUUGGGUAUGUUGUUGAUCCUAGAGUGGAUUCAAUUCGAGAUGGAUAGACCUGAAGUGUCAUCAUCUCGAGGGGGAGAAUUAAAGAAUUCCACAAUUCAUAGUAAGUGGAACAUCCAGAAAUCAUGUUCACACUCAUGUUCGAUAAAUCAGGUGUAAAGAAAAUCCAAAAGAUUUUAAGAUUUAUCAGGUUGAGACAAUGAGUGAAGGAAAUAUUUAAUAUCUUCACAUCAUGAGUAUUAUCCAAGGCAGUAAAAGUAAUUUAGAGAAACUACUUGUAUUCUCUAUUGAAUUGUACUACACUAGUAUAUGAGAUAUAAAUGGGUCUAGUAAACAAGAAGUUUACUGAAAAUCUCACUGUUUUGGCGUAACUGGUUAAGCCAUUCCAAUUAAAUAACAAUGCGAAAAAGAUCCAGAGAUUCUUAUGUGUUUGGAUAUUUUCUGGUACAUACACAAAGAGAUAUUUUGGACUGAUCACCCACUAUGUAUCUUUGUGAAAGUAUUUGGUUAAUUGAUUAAGAGUGAAACCACAUUGAUUCACAUUAUGCCAACGAAUAUUUUGAGUUCUCCCCAUUGUUGGUUUUGGUCAGAAACCAGAUGUUUCCCAUCUAAAAAUUUUGGAUAAUGUUGCUCCACCACAUUGAUCUAAGAUGGGACCUCAAAGAGGAAUAUAUGUUGGAUAUGAAUCUCCCUUGAUGAGUAAAUGUAUUAAGCCAUCAAAUAAGGGUAAUAUUAGCAUUACAGACUGUAAUUUCAGUGAGCCAGUCUUUCCAACAAUUAAGAAAGGGGGGAGAAAAUAGCAGCUGGAAUAUCAGUGAAAGAAAUUAUCUUGAUCCUCAGAAAGAAUGUGCACUAAAAGUUUGAAAUAUAAUUUAUUUGUAAAAUUAAGCAAAUUUGAAGCUAGAGGCAUUAUCUGACCCUGAUUAAGUUAUACCAGCUGUGCUCCAAUUAAUAUUGAUGUCCUGGGGGGACAAUAUCAACUGCGAUAGAGGCUAAAGAUCGCAUGAAGCGUGAUAGACCUACUGAUUCCAAAGAUAAGAAUCCUCGAAAAGAAAAAGGAGCAUAUUAUAAAAUGGCAAGGUCGAGGAAGGAUUCUCUAGAAGAGAUAUAGACAUGAGAGAGAGAGAAAUCUAGGUACCUAGUAAUGAUAAGAGAUUUCAACUAAUUGAGACAUGUCUGGAAUGAAUGGAAUCAAAAGCAAAUCGACGUCGAUAAUAUUUUUGCAUGCAAUGAAGCAGUUGAUGAUGAAAAAUGAGGAUCAGUGAUAUGAUCGUGACCAGCUCAGAGGAGGAGGAACCAGAGGUAGCUGGCAGGAUCACUCGUUCCAGAGCUAGAGAGAUGGCUAAGGAGGCUCACGCACUCAUUGCCACAGAGGACAGCGAUCACCAGGAGGCUGGAGCUCACAUCUUCAACAUCUCUAUCUUGAAGAAUGAAGAACCCAGUAACAAUGACUAGGUAACUUAGGUGAUGAUUCUGUACUCUUUUCCUUGGUGAGGAUUUUGGAAGGCAAGGAGGUUCUUCUCCAAGGUUUUUAACGAGGCAGAAAUCAUUGCUACGUCGAGUUACUUAGAAGUUGUUACUAAUGGGUAAUAAUGUGCAAAGUCACAAUGACUUGUGCACUUAGUAUUUUGGCGCACCACUUAGGAUUUUAGGGACGCCUCGCUGUUUUUAUUUUAAAUCAAACUUCCUGUUGUUUUUAUUUAAACUUCAUGUAGUUUUGUUUCUUUAGGGCUGCGAUUUCUCUAAGUCUAUAUAAUAGAGAAAUCGCCUAAGUCAUUAGGAGCUUGGAAUUUUUAACGUAAAAGAGAGAGCAAAGUUUGCUUUGAUUCCUUGACUCAAAAAGUUCAUUGAAUUCGAUUUUCUUACAAGUGAUUCUUACAAGAAAAUCUGCUACCUAUCAUCUACUCGAUUUCAUCAUCUUCUCUUCUCAUCCUUCACCAUAUCCAUCGAAUUCAUCCCUCCACCAUCACUCGCCAUCGAUCCGCCAAGCCACCAUCAUCAAACCAUCUUCGACUCGAUCCUCAAGCCAUCAUCACCAUCGCAUCGGCCAUCACCACCCCAUCACUUCAUCGUUGUGAUCUGUCCAUAAAAUCGCAGCAUCUACAGCCUUUUCCUCAGAGUAGAUCACCUUGGAUCGUAUCACGUGGUAUCAGAGCCAACUCUGAACCAAAGGCUGAGCAAUCUCUAACCCUAAUCGCGAUUUUUGAUUUGAAUUCGUGUUUUGAUUGUUAGGGCUUAGCGAGUUUGAUUUGUGUGCAUCGAUCUGUUCCCUUUUGAAUAUUGUAUCGUUAUUGCUUCGUAUCGUGAGUUCGUUUGCUAUUGUUAGGGUUAGUCGGUUUGCUAUCGUGUUUGUCUCAAGUUGUUCAGGUCGAGUCUAGGGUUUCGUCUUUUUUUGAUUUCGAUAGGCUUGAUAAUUUGUUAUUUCGUUUUCGUUUAGAUUUGCUAAGAGACUUCAUAUUUUCGUUUUUUUUUAGGGUAGAAAAAAAAAAAAAAAAAAAGAGUACACAAAAAAAAAGAGUACACAAAAAAAAAAAAAAAAUUUUCGUUAAAUUUCAUUAGUUUCUUUGAGUUUGUUUUUAGAUUUCGUGGAGAUCGGUUAAUUUUUUUAUGAUGAGUUUAGUUUUGCUGUUUUGUGAUUUCUUCUAGAACAAGUUACUGCGAGUUUUUUUUUUUUUUUUAUAAAUUUUUUCAGGUACCAUGGAGCUUUCGGCUGAGACAAUAGAAGCUCUGAACCGAGCAAUGUCUCAACAAAUCAAAGAAGCGAAUCAAGCCAUAACAACUCAGCUCACCCAACAAAUCGAACAACUCAACGACAAGUUCGAGACCAAGAUGAGUGAUCUGCUCAAAGAUCUCAGUGCAAGUGGAGAAGAGUCGUCUCAAACCCCAACUCCUUCGGAAGCAAUGCGACUAGCAAAGGGUAAAGGGCACAUAGGAUCUUCCCGGAAACUUCCACGCCACCCAACACCUUCCGAAGCCAGGACUAAAGCUAAGUCCAACCGAAGCCAAAUUGGGGGCAAAGAGACUGCUUUUAAUCCGAGGAGGAAUCCUACUGGUGCAGAACAAGAUGGCCCAAGGGUAGAUCGUCAGCACCGCCGAGAGGAAUAUAUUGCUGGGCAUCGAGUUACCCUGGAAUCAGACCUAGAAUACUAUGAGGAGGACGAAGCUUCUGAUCAUAGCAGAGAAACUGUGAGACGAGAUCGAGGCCGAGGACAUGGUCGAGAUUAUGAUCCUCUACGACAGCAGCUGCGUCAUAUCAAAAUCCAGUAUCCUCCUUUCCAUGGAACUAAUGAUCCCGAAGCUUAUUUAGAUUGGGAAAGGAAGAUGGAGUCUAAUUUUCUGGUCCAAGGAACUUACGAGCUCAACAAGGUGAAGAUUGCAGUUUCGGAAUUUCAUGGGUAUGCGCUUCUAUGGUGGGAGCAGUUGGGAGUCACCAGAAAUCGCUUGAGGGAACUUCCGAUUACUACUUGGGAGCAGCUCGUUAUACAGAUGAGGAAGCGGUUUGUUCCGGCCCAUCAUCAGCGCGAGAUACUCAACAAGCUUAGGCGCCUUGUCCAAGGUACGAAGUCUGUUCGAGAUUAUUAUCAAGAAUUGGAAACUUUGCUCAUUCGUGCAGAUUUACGAGAAGGCGAAGAGAUGGUAAUGUCGAGAUUUCUUGGAGGACUUAACCGAGAAAUUCAAGACAAGGUGGAACUUCAGGAUUUCGCAGAUAUACAAGAGAUGGUGCAUAAGGCUGAAUUGGUGGAAUCUCAAGUCAAGAGGCGAAAUUUCAAGUCCACAUUCACGCCUAGUGUGCCUAAGCCUAAGGAGAUCAGCAAGCCAGCUUACUCCAGAGACAUCAAACCGCCAUCUACUGGAGUUAAAGAAGAAGCUAAAGCUGAGUUCAAGCCUCGAGGUGGCACUUCUAUCAGCAAUGUGAGGUGUUUCAAAUGUCAAGGAAUGGGACAUUACUCUCGAGAUUGCCCAAACAAGAAGGUUUUCUUGUUACAUGAGGGAGGAGAGAUAGUUCCUCAAGAGGAUUCAGAGGCCGAAUAUGAAUUAGAGGAAGAGGAAGAAGCUGCUGCUGUGGGCGAGAUGCUGGUUGCCAGAAGGACUUUGAGUGUUCAGAGUCAACCUGAAGAGACUUGUCAGCGAGAGAACCUGUUCCAUACGAGAUGCUUCAUUCAAGGAAAAGUUUGUAGCCUGAUCAUAGAUGGAGGAAGUUGUACUAAUGCUGCAAGCGAAGAGAUGGUUAAGAAGCUCCAGCUCAAGACUAUUCCUCAUCCAAGGCCGUAUAAGCUUCAGUGGUUGAAUGACAGUGGAGCCUUGACCGUAUCUCAGCAAGUGAUGGUUUCUCUAUCCAUUGGGAAGUAUGAAGAUGAGAUUCUAUGUGACGUCAUUCCCAUGGGUUUGAGUCAUGUGUUGCUAGGCAGACCGUGGCAAUCAGAUCGUAGGGUGAUACACGACGGUUACACCAACAAGCACUCAUUCGAGUUCAAAGGUCGCAAAAUUACCCUCCUACCUCUCACGCCUACCGAGAUUUAUCAAGAUCAAGUUCAAAUGAAGCUCAAGGAGAAGGAGAAAGUCGCCAACAGCCUCUACAUAAACCACAAUGAAUUUUCUAAACUCUUUGAUCCUGAAAUGACUACUUUUAUGUUUGUGUACAAGGAAUCCCUUGUUAGUACUAACCCUUCACAGGAGCUUCCUAGUGCUAUGUUUGAGAUUUUGCAGGAAUACAAGGACGUUUUUCCAGUAGAAAUUCCACCAGGGCUACCUCCAAUUCGCGGGAUAGAGCAUCAGAUUGACUUGGUACCAGGAUCAGCCUUACCUAACAGGCCAGCAUACCGAACCAACCCUGUAGAGACUAAGGAGCUGCAAAAGCAAGUGGAGGAGCUGAUGAGCAAAGGCCAUAUCCGAGAAAGCUUGAGUCCAUGUGCGGUUCCAGUUCUGUUGGUGCCAAAGAAGGAUGGUUCCUGGAGGAUGUGUGUAGACUGUCGAGCUAUCAACAACAUCACUGUGAAGUAUCGGCAUCCGAUCCCAAGGCUAGAUGAUAUGCUGGAUGAGCUCUGUGGGUCGACAAUCUUCUCUAAGAUCGACUUGAAGAGUGGAUAUCAUCAGAUCAGAAUGAAGGAAGGGGAUGAGUGGAAAACGGCAUUCAAGACAAAGCAGGGACUCUACGAGUGGCUAGUUAUGCCGUUUGGCCUCACCAAUGCUCCCAGCACCUUCAUGAGACUAAUGAACCAUGCCCUGAGACCAUUCAUUGGCGUGUUCGUAGUGGUUUAUUUCGACGAUAUCCUCAUCUACAGUAAAGGUUUGGAAGAACAUCUAGAUCACAUCAGAUCGGUUCUUGAUGUUCUUCGCUCUCAAUCUCUCUUUGCUAAUUUAUCUAAAUGUUCAUUCUGCACUAACGAGAUUGUUUUCUUAGGCUUUGUAGUAAGUGCAGGAGGAGUUAAAGUAGAUGAAGAGAAGAUAAAAGCUAUCAAGGAGUGGCCAACCCCCAAGAAUAUUGGAGAAGUCCGAAGUUUCCAUGGCUUAGCAGGAUUCUACAGGCGUUUUGUUCGUGAUUUCAGCACCAUAGCCGCGCCUUUAACCGAAAUAAUCAAGAAAGACGUGGGGUUCAAGUGGGGAGAGGCGCAAGAACAGGCUUUUACAGCCCUUAAAGAGAAGCUUAUCAAUUCGCCCUUACUAGUACUUCCUGAUUUUACUAAGACUUUUGAGAUUGACUGCGAUGCUUCUGGUGUAGGUAUUGGAGCAGUUCUUAUGCAGGAUAAGAAGCCAGUCGCUUACUUCAGCGAAAAGUUAGGAGGAUCAACGCUGAAUUAUCCAACGUAUGACAAGGAGUUAUACGCAUUGGUUCGAGCUCUCCAGACGUGGCAGCAUUACUUAUGGCCUAAGGAAUUCGUCAUUCAUACCGAUCACGAGUCUCUAAAGCACCUCAAGGGUCAGCAGAAACUUAACAAAAGACAUGGGCGAUGGAUGGAGUUCAUUGAGACAUUCCCCUACAUUGUUAAGUACAAAAAAGGUAAAGAUAAUGUGGUCGCAGACGCAUUAUCCCGGAGGUACACUCUUAUUUCGACUUUAACAUCAAAGUUGAUUGGAUUUGAGCAUAUUAUAGAUCUUUAUGAAUCUGACACUGACUUUUCUGAGAGCUAUGCCAAAUGUCAUAAGUUUGCCUGUGAGAAAUUUUAUAGACAGGAUGGAUACUUGUUCUUCAGUAACCGAUUGUGCAUACCACGAGGAUCCAUUCGAGAGUUACUGGUACGAGAAGCUCAUGGAGGUGGAUUAGCUGGACAUUUCGGCGUCACAAAGACACUUCUUGGGCUACAAGAGCACUUCUACUGGCCGAACAUGAAGAAGGACGUUGAGAAAAUCUGCUCUAGAUGUGUCGUAUGUAAGAUGGCUAAGAGUAAAAUUCAGCCUCACGGUUUGUAUACUCCUUUGCCUAUUCCUUCUCAACCUUGGACUAAUAUCUCUAUGGAUUUUGUAGUUGGCUUACCUCGCACCAGAAAUGGUAGAGAUUCUAUUUUUGUAGUUGUUGACAGGUUUAGCAAGAUGGCUCACUUCAUCGCUAGCCACAAGACAGAUGAUGCUGUGAAUGUAGCUAACUUGUUUUUCAGGGAAGUAGUGCGACUGCAUGGAAUGCCACAGGUUAUCGUUUCAGAUCGAGACACGAAGUUCUUAGGACACUUUUGGCGAACGCUUUGGGCUAAGCUGGGAACAAAGCUCUCAUUCUUAACUACGUGUCAUCCUCAGACCGAUGGACAGACCGAGGUGGUGAAUAGAACGUUGUCCACACUUCUAAGGACUUUGGUGAAAAGUAACCUUAAGACAUGGGAAGAGUGCCUGCCUCAUGUCGAGUUUGCUUACAAUCACGCUAAGCAUUCUGCUACUCUCUUUUCUCCUUUUGAAAUUGUAUAUGGGUUUAAUCCACAAUCACCUCUAGACUUGAUCCCUUUGCCUUUAAGUGGAAAAUGCAGUUUGAAUGGCAAGGAGAAAGCUGAACAGGUCAGAAGAAUUCAUGCUAAGGCUAAGGAGAAUAUCGAGAAAAAGACAAAGCAGUAUGAGAAGCAUGCCAACAAAGGACGAAAGGAACUGAUUUUCGAAGAAGGAGAUCUGGUGUGGAUCCAUCUGAGGAAGGAGCGAUUUCCAGCUGAGCGAAAGAACAAGCUAAUGCCCAGAGUUGAUGGACCAUUCGCAGUCAUCAAAAGAAUCAACAACAAUGCCUAUCAGAUUGAUCUUCAAGGUAAGUAUGAUGUUUCUGAUACUUUCAAUGUUUCUGACUUGCUUCCUUUUGUUGCAGAUUCUGAUUUGAGGGCAAAUCCUUUUCAAGAGGGAGAGGAUGAUAUGAUCGUGACCAGCUCAGAGGAGGAGGAACCAGAGGUAGCUGGCAGGAUCACUCGUUCCAGAGCUAGAGAGAUGGCUAAGGAGGCUCACGCACUCAUUGCCACAGAGGACAGCGAUCACCAGGAGGCUGGAGCUCACAUCUUCAACAUCUCUAUCUUGAAGAAUGAAGAACCCAGUAACAAUGACUAGGUAACUUAGGUGAUGAUUCUGUACUCUUUUCCUUGGUGAGGAUUUUGGAAGGCAAGGAGGUUCUUCUCCAAGGUUUUUAACGAGGCAGAAAUCAUUGCUACGUCGAGUUACUUAGAAGUUGUUACUAAUGGGUAAUAAUGUGCAAAGUCACAAUGACUUGUGCACUUAGUAUUUUGGCGCACCACUUAGGAUUUUAGGGACGCCUCGCUGUUUUUAUUUUAAAUCAAACUUCCUGUUGUUUUUAUUUAAACUUCAUGUAGUUUUGUUUCUUUAGGGCUGCGAUUUCUCUAAGUCUAUAUAAUAGAGAAAUCGCCUAAGUCAUUAGGAGCUUGGAAUUUUUAACGUAAAAGAGAGAGCAAAGUUUGCUUUGAUUCCUUGACUCAAAAAGUUCAUUGAAUUCGAUUUUCUUACAAGUGAUUCUUACAAGAAAAUCUGCUACCUAUCAUCUACUCGAUUUCAUCAUCUUCUCUUCUCAUCCUUCACCAUAUCCAUCGAAUUCAUCCCUCCACCAUCACUCGCCAUCGAUCCGCCAAGCCACCAUCAUCAAACCAUCUUCGACUCGAUCCUCAAGCCAUCAUCACCAUCGCAUCGGCCAUCACCACCCCAUCACUUCAUCGUUGUGAUCUGUCCAUAAAAUCGCAGCAUCUACAGCCUUUUCCUCAGAGUAGAUCACCUUGGAUCGUAUCAAUCAGAAACCGCGGUACAAAAGAUGUAUUAAAAAAAAAAGCGUAAAACGAUGAUUGGCCAAUCAUGAUAAAGGCCGUGAAGGCAAAGAUAAGGAUUUGGACCAGUAGUCCGUACACUUGAAAGUGUAAAACUGGUGAGACAUAAGUGGAUCUUUAUACGAAAGAUGAAUGAAAGUGAUACAUGAAAAGAUAUACUUUCUUGUGUGGAUGCAACUAUUUUACAUAUCCUUUAUCAGUAUAAAAAUGAGAGAAAGACUUGAUUUAGUCCUGAAAGGAAAUCAAAUUGCAAAAAGCAAUUAGAAGGAUUAAUGAUGUUCUCGAGAACACUGGCUAUUGGAUUGAAUUAAAGCAAAUAUGCUUCAUGAGGUAUACUCUUAUAGUGGAUAUUAUACAAUAAUCAAUAUACCCAUGUGAAUGUAUCAAAAGAUUAUGGAUCAAUGGAAUCUUUGGUUUGGACAUAAUCAAAACUCUUGAAGAGUUAUCGGAAAUCGAAAUUUGAAAGAAGAAACUUUAGAAUGACAAGUUUGUCUUGAAGUUCUCCAAAUGGUAAAUUAAAGAAAGAGAUAUUUUCUUAAAGAUCCUUGUAUGAUUUUACAUACAAAGUGCUCAUACAUAGUUGGUCUUGAGGUAGCACACUUAAAAUGAUAUUUGAGCAAGUUGUUGAUCUCUUUCAUGAUUGAAAGAUGUGCUUUCGUAUGAUAAGAAAGAAAGCCAACGUGAUAGCUUUUACAAGAAGAGCAUGAAUAACUCGUACGUACAAAUAUGUACAAUAUGAAUAUGUAGAAGAUUGUAUGUAAAAGAAUUUGGCAUAAACAUCCAAAUAGAAAAAGAAAAUAUCCUCUAUGCAAAAGGAUGUUAUGGACUAGAAAUCCAUUAACCUGAGAAAUUUUGAUAAGCAUAUGAGUGUAUUAACCAAGGUUGUGCUUAUAUCAAUUCCCUAAAGAUGAUAUAUGAUUGGAAUGCAUCUCUGGAAGAAGAUGCUUCCAAAGCGAGAAAUAUGAUGAUCUGCGUGGUUGUACUCUUUUUCUUUCUCAUGAUUUUUAUCUCACUAGGUUUUUCCAUGACAAGGUUUUAACGAAGCAACAAGAACACGUAAAUGAUAGUAACCUAAAAGGAAUGUAAAUAUGAAAGUCUAUCACGACUAAAGAGAUUAUUAAGAUCAUCAAAAGCAAAGAAAAAUAUCAAGAUGGAUCAUUUGGGACACUCGAUAAUUGCAGUAUAUUUUGAUGAUGUAAACAUCAUUGGAACUCAUAUAGAGAUUUUUCAGAUAGUGGAAUAUCUUAAAAAAGAGUUUGAGAUGAAAGAUCUCGGGAAAACAAAAUGUGCUUGGGAUUGCAAAUUGAGCAUCUAAAGGAUGGAAUCCUAAUGCAUCAAAUGAUAUAUACAGAAAAAGUGCUUAAAAGAUUUUAUAUGGAUGAUGGACAUCCCUUGAGUAGCCUUAUGGUCGUAAUAUCAAUUGAUGUGUUAAAGGACACCUCUCUUCCUCGAGAAGACGAUGAAGAACUACUUGGUCCUGAAGUACUAUAUUUAAGUGCAAUUGAGGCAUUAAUGUACCUUGCGAGUCAUACGAGACCUGACAUAUCGUUUGCCGUAAUUUAUUGGCAAGAUUUAGCUCAUGUCCAACUCAAAGACAUUGGAAUGGGAUUAAGCAUAUAUUUCGUUAUCUCAAAGGAACAAAGAUAUGAGUUUAUUCUUUUCUAACCCAUCCAAAUGAGAUUUGAUUAGUUUUGCAGAUGUUGGAUAUUUAUCUGGUCCCCAUAAUGCCAGAUCACAGACAGGAUAUGUAUUCACAUGUGGUGGUUCAGCUAUUGCUUAGCGUUUUAUGAAGCAAACCAUUACAGCUACUUCUUUUAACCAUGCUGAGAUUUUAGCUAUUCAUGAAACCAGUCGAGAGUGUAUAUGGUUAAGGUCUGUCAUUCACCAUAUUCGAGAAGAUUGUGAUUUAUCAAAAAGGAAAGAAGCUCCAACAAUUAUGUAUGAAGACAAUUCUGUUUGCAUCCCUCAACUUAAGGACGGAUAUAUCAAAGGAGAUAAAACAAAGUAUAUUCUACCGAAAUUCUUCUUUGCACAUGAUUUGCAGAAGAAUGGUGAUGUUCGUAUUCUACAGAUCCACUCAAACAAUAAUUUAGCGGAUUUGUUUACCAAGACGCUUCCAAUUGCUACUUUCAAUAAUUUGGUUCAACUUAUUAGAUUACGACGUCUCAAGGAUCUAGACGGAGGUACACAUGAGGGGGAGUAAAUGCGUGCUGCACUCUUUUUCCCUUAACUAUGGUUUUUCCCACAGGGUUUUCCUAGUAAAGUUUUUAAUGAGGCAGCAUCUUACGCGCUUUAGUACAAUAUCAUUAUAAUGGUCAUCAGGAGGAGUGUUAUGAAUUAUUAAUUAGAUGCCCAUUAUAAAGCCCAUAACUAUUAUUAUAUUUGUCCCACAUCGGAAACUUGUGGUGGUGACUAGAUCUUUGUAAUACUAUAUAUACCUCUUAUUCUUCCUGGAAUAAGAUACACCAAUUUCCUCUUUCUCUCGAUAACUGAUUUACAACAGUUAUAUAAAAAAGUAUAUUAAUAAAUUUAAAAGUAUUUUGAGUGAUUUUAAAUGAGAUUCAAAAGAAUAUUAAUAAAAAAUAAUACAAUUUCUUUAAUUCACCUAUGUUCUUAAAUCUUUCCAAAUAUUUGAUUUACUAUUUUACCUUGAUAUAUUUUAAUAAAAUUGGCUAAGUCAUUCAAAAGUUUAAGUUAUACUAGAUGUUCUGAGCAAAAGAAAAUAUAUUAUAGUGUAUUUAUAUUUGUUCCACGUUAAAAUAUAUUUAUAGUAGAGUUUAUAUUUUGACUAUACAAAAAAUAUAAAUAAAAAUUGACCAUUAUAAAAAUUUGGUUAUGAUAUUCUUUUUUAAAGUGUAAAUAAGACCAAUUUUCACAUAUUCACACUUUCUCAUUUUCUUCUCUUUCUCCUAUUUUUUAUUUUUAUUCUUGUUCCUUUUGUCCUUCUUCCUUUUUAUAUUCUUCCAACAAAAUACACUCCUCCCCUUUAUUUUAUUUUGCUAUCAAUCUCUUAAAAAAAAAUUGUUUCAAGUUUGCAAUUUUAAACAACAUAUAUUUAUUUAUUUUGGAUUUAGAGUUGGUUUUAUUAUGACAACUCUUAUGUCCGUUUUUUUAAAAUACAAACCAUCUAAGAUGCAUAAAAAAUAUGUGUUUUUAGAAACAUUGUAAAAUUUAAUCAAUUGGAAUAUAAAUUUAAAACAAUAAACAAGAUAGAAUGUGGCAAAAUAUUUACAAAAUAUGAUAGAAAGUGUUGCGAAUAUCUCCGAUAUCAAUUGAACUAUGUUUAUAUGAAUCGAUUACGAUUGAUGGAUUAGAAUCAGAAUGAUUUAUGAACGAAAUAGAAAAAAUAGCGACACGCGAGGAUUUAUCCAGUUCGGGUACAAAACCGCGACCCUAUGUCUGGCUGAGACUUGCUCGGAAUUCACUAAGAGAUUGUUUACAACGUCGCCGUACAACGUCACCGGAAAACUCCCCUGAGAUCCCUUUUUCUAUCACCGGAAAAAUAUCUCACCGUUUUCCUCUCAGAUUACAAGAUCCUCUCUCUCUCUCUAGACUCUCGUAACUGACUAUGUAAUCACUCACAGCUAACUUCAACAACUUGUAACAAGAAGACUAACCACUUAGACGCGCGUUGACUCCACGCACUAAUGGUCACAAGCUCGAGUUCUUCAGCUUCAAGACGAAGCUUCUAACGACGACGUUUUUAGGUGAAAUUAUAUUAGACCCGCGGUUAACUUAUCCUAACCCGGCUCUUCCUCAAUCAGCUCCUAAACUGGAACCUGCCAAUUGAAUCAGAUGGUUUAAUGACCAAAACACAUCCGACAAACUCCACCUUGGUUAUGAAACCAUUUCUCCAAACCUUAGUGAACUCCAUCUCAGAUCCUCUCUGCUUCAAGCUUCAGAGACACCUAGUAGGCUAAGCAAUUGCUUGAACCUACCAACUGGAAAUACCUUUGUAAAGAUAUCCGCAGGAUUCUCAACUGUAUUUACCUUUGAAACCUGCACUUCGUCUUCUUCUACUCUUUCCUUUAUGAAACUCAACUUUACUGCCAUGUGCUUUGUUCGCUCAUGAUGAACAUUGUUCUUCGCAAGAGCUAAAGCACUCUGAGAGUCACAAAAGAUCUCUACCUUCUGCUGUGUAUAACCAAAUUCACUGCAUAACCCUCUUAACCAAAUAGCUUCUUUUGCAGCCUCAGUCAUAGACACAUACUCAGACUCAGUAGUGGACAGAGCAACAACUUUCUGCAGACUCGACUUCCAACUGAUUACACCUCCACCAGACACAAACGCAUACCCUGAGAUAGACCUUCUACGAUCUAAGUCUGCAGCGUAGUCAGAGUCACAGAAACCACAGAUUUUAAAAUCUGAACCUUUCUUAUACAUCAAGCUCAACCCUUUUGAACCCUUGAUGUAUCUUAGUAUCCACUUAACAACACUCCAUGGCGUCUUAGCUGGACUACUCAUAAACCAGCUAACCAAGCCUACUGGAUAAUCUAAAUCUGGUCUCGUCCCUAUCAUUCCAUACAUAAUGCUCCCAACCGCAUUACAGUAAGGGACUGACCUCAUAUAGACUUUGUCUGUGUCCAGUUGUUCCUUAGUUGCAGACGCAAGUUUGAAGUGAGCUCCCAUAGGUGUGUUCACCGACUUUGCUUGAUCCAUAUUAUAGCUCUUAAGUACCUUCUCCAUAUAGCUUUCUUGAGACAAUCUAAGAGUUCCUGCCUCUCGAUCUCGGAUGAUAUCUAUGCCAAGAAUCUUUCUAGCUGUUCCUAGAUCCUUCAUUUCGAAUUUGGAGCUUAGCUGAUCCUUAAGAGCACUGAUGAUUGCCAUAUCCUUACAAGCAACUAGCAUAUCGUCUACAUAUAACAGCAAGUAGACGAAUGUACCUGCAACACAAUUGAUGUAAACACAUUGGUCAUGAUCAUUCCUUUUAAACCCAAUUUCAAGCAUGAAUGCAUUGAACUUUUGGUUCCACUGUCUCGGACUUUGUUUUAGUCCAUACAGAGAUUUCUUCAACAGACACACAUAACUCUCCUUUCCUCUUUCUUCAUAGCCUUCCGGUUGAGCCAUGAAAAUAUCUUCUUCUAAAUCGCCAUGCAAGAAUGCCGUUUUUACAUCCAAUUGCUCAAGCUCCAUGUCCUCAUUCACCACUAUUGACAUCAAAUACCGUAUAGAGACAUGUUUAACAACUGGUGAGAAUAUCUCAUUAUAAUCCACCCCCUUCUUUUGAGCAUAGCCCUUAGCAACAAGCCUGGCCUUGUAUCUUGGUUCUUCAACGCCUGGUAUACCUGGUUUUCUUUGAAAGAUCCAGCUGCACCCAAUGAUCUUUCUCUUCUUCAGUCUUGGAACCAAGAUCCAAGUACAUUUUUUGUCCAACGACUCCAUUUCUUUGUCUGGUGCAGCCUUCCACAGUUUACUAUGUGGAUCUCUCAUUGCAGACCUGAAGUCUGAAGGCUCAACCGGAUCACCAUCUUCUGAUGCGAUUAAAGCCAGAUGCACGAACUCAUCAUCAUACCUUUGUGGAGGUCUUAUGUCUCUCCUUUGUCUGUCUCGAGCCAGCCGAUAACCAUCUGUCUCAGGCUCAUGUUCUGUAUCACUUUCUGAUCCUUCUUUUUCACUGUCUAGGUUAGUAACAUCUUCAUUUGACUCGAUGUCACCCCCUGCGGUUCUAACCUGUCCAUCUCCACCUGAACUGACAUCUCUCUGUUGAUUAAUACCCAGUUCCACAUCCAGAAAAGCAACAUUUCUUUCUUUCGUGACAUCAUUUUUCUUCAACAGAUCCUUGUAACAUUCAGACUCUUUAAAUGUUACAUUUAUGCUGACGAUGCACCGCUUAUCCUCCAAGGACCACAACUUAUAACCUUUUACACCUGUAGGGUAACCACCGAAGAUACCUUUCUUUGCUCUCGGUUGUAGCUUGCCAUCAUCAGAAUGAAAAUAGCACACGCAUCCGAAUACCCUUAAGUGAUGAAAGUUUGGUGCUGUUUUUGACCAAACCUCCUCUAGAAUGCGACCCUGUAUGGCUGUAGAUGGAGUUCUGUUGAUUACAUAGACAACCGUGUUCACUGCUUCUGCCCAGAAAACCUUCGGUAAACCAGACUCACUCAAUACACUUCUUACCCUCUCAAGGAUAGUCCGAUUCAUUCUCUCAACAACUCCAUUUUGUUGAGGAUUGUGAGGAAUAGUCUUGUGUCUAGCAAUAUCAUUCUCUGCACAGAAAGCAUCGAAUUCUCUAUUACAAAACUCUAAACCAUUGUCAGUCCUUAGCUUUUUGACCUUAAGCCCUGACUGAUUCUCAACCAAUACUUUCCACUCCAUAAACUUUUCAAACGUUUAAUCCUUAGUCUUCAAGAAGAAUACCCAUACUUUUCUAGAACAAUCGUCAAUCAUACUCAAGAAAUAAUGACAGUUUCCCAAAGAUUGUGGAACCGAUGGAGAACCCCACAGAUCCGCAUGAACAUAGUCAGACAUUCCUUACUUGUGUGUUGACCUGAAGAGUAACUUUGACGAUGGGACUUACCAAAGAUACAACUCUCGCAGAACUACAAAUUUGAGUCUUUUCCCUUAUCCAAAUAACCCUUCCUGACCAGAAUAUCCAAGCAUUUUUGACUCACAUGUCCCAAUCUGCUGUGCCACAAGUUUGUGUCAUCUUUGGCACUUACCGAAUUCACCUCACCAACAAGGGUCCUUCCUUGAAGAAAAUACAACUUGUGUGUCCUCUUCGCUGACAGAAUCGACCUGCUAUCUUUCUGUACUUGCAAAACUCCAUUUUUAGAGGUAAAUGUGCAUCCUUGCUCCUCAAAGGAUCCUAGAGAUAACAGGUUCCUUGAGAAAUCAGGGACAUACCGAACCUCUUUGAUCAUAACUAGUUGACCGUCUGACGUCUUGAUCCUUAUGGUGCCAAUUCCUUUUACCGCUGAGACUGUUUCAUUGGCCAUUCUGACUGAACCUGCAGUAUAUUCAUUUAGUUCAACAAACCAGUCCUUCCUUGGUGUCAUGUGAAACGUGCAUCCCGUGUCUAGAAUCCAAAUCUCCUUGAAGUCACACCCCGCUGCAACAUUUACUUCUGAGACCACUAAAGACUCAAUGAACUCAAUGCCUGUAACUGCAGAUGAUUCGCCUGUCACCUGCGUCUUGUCUUUGCCCUGACAACUUGAUUUCUUGGGACAGUCCUUUUUAAAAUGCCCCUCACCACCACAAAUCCAACAGGUGUUUCCACCUCCCUUUGCUUUAUUCUUCUUGAACUUGUUGGUUUGUUUACCCGAACCUGAGUCUUUUGAGCUUUUGCCUUUGUUAGUAUUCGAGUAUAAUACCUCACCUUGAGCCUUAGUCACCUUUCCACUAGAUAACUCCAACUUUUUAGAGUGAAUGAAACUGAUAACUCCAUCCAACGUCAUUUCAGCCUUUGAGUACCUCAGGGUAUCUCGAAGUUGAUCAAACUGUUUUGGCAGCGACAUCAGUAACAAGAUAGCCUGAUCUUUGUCUGGAAUUUCAACCAUGACGUUACCUAGAUCAGUGAUUAUCCUCAAAAAUUCAUCAAUGUUAUUCUCAAUAGAAGCCGACUCAUUCAUCCUGAAACUAUAUAGUUUCUGCUUCAAGUACAUCCUAUUUGGCAAUGACUUAGACAUAUACUGUUCAUCUAGAAUCUUCAACAUACCAACCGCAUGCAGUUUGUUCUUUGAUGAUCUUCCUUAGAAUUUUAUCUGUAACACUUGUGACAAUAAUGCUGCGUACCUUUCUUUGUUUCUUCACAAGUUCCUGAUCCGUCUCUGACUUGACCGAUGCCUCGACAUCUUUUCCUUUUGGAUCGACUUUCGCGUUCGGCUCUAAUAGCUUCUUCUUGAGCCUGAUAAGCCUCCACCAGACCGAGGAGGUGAUAGAGAGCGGAAGCUGUAACAAGAGAUCGGAGACGAAGUCGUCGAAAGAAAACUCGUAACGAACUCAAAGAAACAAGAGUACUCCUCUUAGUGCUCGAAAGCUCUGAUAAUUAUUAGUUUCAAAAGUCGAAAGUUGUUCCACAAUGAAUCGUAAAUGUCCUAUAAAUACUAACUAAAGAGAUAAAGCUAACUUCCUAAACCCAAUCCUAACUAUAAAGGAUUUAUGCAUAUCCUUUUAAUAAGAAAAUCUCAAACUGAAUAAAAGAUAAAUAGUAUAACUUGGCAAACACGAACGAGGCCCACGCGUGUUUGCUGAAGCCCGAAAUCAAAGGAUGCGCUGCAUCAGGUCCCCCCGGGUGCGAGAGGAUUUGACCACGAAUCAGCAGGCUCAUUGUCACCGUGGAAAGGAGACAAAUGUUUAACGUUAAAGACAUCGGAAGUGCGAAGAUGCGAUGGCAAGCGAACUCGGUAAGCAUUUGGAUUAAUUCGCUCCAACACUUCAACUGGUCAUAUCUUCUUGGACUUGAGCUUGUUAUAUUCCCCUACCGAGAAACGUUCCUUUGAGAGGACGACCCAGACCAAGUCGCCGGGCUCAAAAAUAACCUCGCGACGUUUCGCAUCGGCCGACGACUUGUACUUAGCUGACGCUGCUUCCAAAUUGGUCUGUGCUUGGCGAUGAAUCGAAUGAAGGCUGUCAACAAAAUCCACCGCUUCACCGUGAAGUCGCGCUUUGUCAGGUAGUGUCGUCAAAUCCAGAGGACAACGAGGAACCAUCCCAUAUACCACACGAAAGGGACUGAAACCCACACUGCGGUUAACUGCGUGAUUAUGUGCGAAUUCAGCUUGGCACAACUUGGCGUCCCAGGCGCGAAUAUUGUCACCCACCAAACAACGCAAAAGGUUACCAAGCAAUCUGUUAGUGACCUCGGUCUGUCCGUCAGUUUGCGGAUGAUAGGCCGAGCUCAUGUCAAGGCGUGUACCCAAAAGCUUCCAAAGAGAUCGCCAAAAAUGGCUUAAGAAGCGAGUGUCGCGGUCAGAAACGAUCGAUAAAGGGAGGCCGUGCAACCUGUAUAUCUCGCGAAAGAAAAGUGUGGCGACACUGACGGCAUCCAUUGUCUUCUUACAGGGGAUGAAAUGUGCCAUUUUAGAAAAACGAUCAACAACGACAAAGAUGAAAUCGUUACCGUGCUGAGUUCGAGGAAGACCGAGUACAAAGUCCAUGCUUACGUCAGUCCAUGGUUGCGUUGGGAUAGGCAAUGGUAAGUAAAGACCAGCGUUAGACGCCUUUCCCUUUGACUGUUGACAAAUGCGGCAACGCUCAACAAAGCGUUCAACGUCGCGACGCAACGUCGGCCAAAAGUACGAUUCCGCCACAAGCUGCAAAGUUCUGUCUCUUCCGACGUGGCCUUCGUUGUGCAACUCGCGGAUAAUCUGAGCGCGUAAGCUGCAAUCUGGAACACAAAUCCGGAGGCCUUUGAAAAGAAAGCCAUCGCAGAGGGUAAAGUCGCUAGGAACCCCGUUCGUGACAUCAGAGAAGAUACGACCAAAGAAAUGAUCGUGAGGGUAUAUGUCGGCAAAGGUAGCGAAGCCCAACACCGUAGUGUGCAUCGAACUGACGAGAGAAUGGCGACGGCUCAACGCGUCGGCCACCCGAUUGGUUUGACCAGACUGAUGGCGGAUUGAAAACGUAAACUGCUGGAGAUAUGCGAUCCACGACGCAUGGCGAGAAGAAACUUUAGCCUGGUCAUGAUCAGUAAAAAAGAUAAACUCCCUGUGUACCAAAUAGUGACGCCAAUGUUUAAUGGCCUGUACGAUAGCGUAUAAUUCGACGUCAUAAGUGCUGUAACGACCUCGCGCUCCUGCUAAUUUCUCGCUAUAGAAUGCGACCGGCCGAUUUUGCUGACUCAGAACUGCACCAAUUCCGAGUUUGGAAGCGUCGCAAUGUAACUCAAAAGGCAGGGAAAAAUUGGGUAACACUAGGAUCGGAGCCGUUGUCAAUAUCUGCUUAAUCAGGUCAAACGCCUUGGCUGCCUCAGAUGUCCAUUCGAACUUCCCGGAUCGCAUACAGGCUGUAAUCGGAGCCAUGAUAGUACUAAAAUGAUGCACAAAACGUCUGUAGAAAGAGGCCAGACCGUGGAAGCUACACACGUCGGAGAUGGUACGCGGCGUAGGCCAAGAACGAACAGCUUCGACCUUGGACAAAUCAACCUCAAGCCCCUGAGCUGACACCACGUAGCCCAGGAAAAGCACCUUAUCAACCCCGAACUCACAUUUCUGUUGUGCCGCAAAGAGCUGUUCGCGACGUAAAAUGAUCAAGACCUCGCGAAUGUGUUGAAUGUGUACUUCCUUUGACGAACUGAAGAUCAAAAUGUCGUCGAAAUACACGACCACCGAUUUUCCCAUGAGAGGUCGGAGAGCUUGAUUCAUGAUGCGCAUGAAUGUGCUCGGCGCAUUCGACAAACCAAAAGGCAUGACGAGCCACUCAAAUAAUCCCUCGCGCGUCUUAAAAGCUGUCUUCCAUUCGUCACCAGGACGAAUACGAAUCUGAUGGUAGCCACUCUUGAGAUCAAUCUUGGAAAAGAUGGUCGCUGCUCCUAUUUGAUCAAGAAGAUCAUCCAAGCGAGGAAUCGGAAAGCGAUAGCACACCGUGAUUUUAUUAAUCGCGCGACUGUCUACGCACAUACGCCAUGAACCGUCUUUCUUAGGGAUGAGUAAGGCAGGAACAGCGCACGGACUUAAGCUUUCCCGAAUGUGACCUUUUCGCAAGAGCUCUUCGACCUGGCGUCGCAACUCGUCGUGCUCAAGAGAACUCAUGCGGUAAUGAGCUCUGUUUGGCAGUGUCGCGCCAGGGAUAAGAUCAAUGUUGUGCUGUAUAUCCCGCAAUGGUGGUAAACCGGAUGGUAGAUCCACUGGAAAUACGUCGCUAAACUCUGCAAUGACAGAGGAAAGAGCAGGAUCCGGUAUCGCAGAAAGACUGCGUGCGCCUGACGCGGGAAGCAAGGCAAAAGCAAAACCCUCCGUUUGUAACUCUGCAGAGAACAUCGCAUAAGAACAUAGUACAUUAGACGGACGCUUGCGCGAAGUCGAUGAUUGCGAGUCUGGCAGUGUGCUCGGUGAAGGAGGAGGUGGCAAAGAAAGUUCCCGCGACGGAAGGAGCAGGAUUUGGUGCGUCUCCCAAAUGAAACUGUAGGUAUUCCGCGCCCCAUCGUGUAUAAUCUUCCGAUCGAAUUCCCACGGUCGCCCUAACAAGAGGUGACUGACAUCCAUGGGUGCGACAUCGCAGUACGUGCGAUCGCGAUAAUGAAGGCCAAUGGAGAAUGCGACCAACGCACUGCGUGAUACGAACACUGACACCUUCUUGCAACCAUCCGAGAGUAUAAGGUGCAGGAUGAUUUUCUCCCGAAAUGCCGAGCUUACCGGCUGCAACAUCGGAGAUGACAUUGCGACAGCUGCCAGAGUCGAUGAUGAACGUACAAAUACGAUCCUUAAUUGUGCAGGUGGAACAAAAUAUAUUCGUUCGAAGCCAUUGAUCAUCCUGUCUGCGCGGCGUUAAACACGAACGUCGCACAACUAAAAGAUGGCCUGUAUCACCAGGUGUGAUCUGCAGGGAAGCUGUGUUAGGGUCAACAUCAUCAUCAUGAGAGUCGUACAAGGCGUCGUGGUCCUCUGUUGGUCCAUCUGUGACAAGUCACGCCGAGUUUGAUGGGGACAAGCUGUUUGCCGGUGUCCCUAUUCGCCACAAGAAUAGCACCGUAAUGCUGCAGGUCGUGACGAACGACGCAACACUGGUUCUUCCGCCGGAGCUGUAGGACGAGAGGCAGAAGCCGCACCUUCAGUACUCUCCUUUGUCGCAACUGGGUUCGAUCCAACGCUCUGCUCGAGUACCCUGUUUCUGGACGCUGAAGACGGCCAAUUAGAGGAACGCAGCUGUUGCUCGAAUGACGCAGCGCGUCGGAUUGCUUCGCUGAUCGAGGUCGGGUCAAAUUGAGCCAUUGCGGUCUGAAGCUGAGAUCGAAGGCCGCCAAUGAAGCGAGAAACAAGCUGGUUUUCACUGUCGCGCAGCUCGUUUUGCGUUAACAGAAUUGAGAACUCUUCCGCGUAGUCGUCCACCGUGUGCGAUCCUUGUUGCAGAUUUUGGAGUCGCGUAUACAUAGUGCGAUCGUAGUUGUGCGGUAAAAAGGCCUUGCGCAGGUGUUUCUUCAAUCUCUCCCACGAUUGAAUUGGCUCUUUGCCUGUGCGUGUGCGCAUGGACUUGAGCUGCUUCCACCAAGACGCGGCAUGACCGCGAAAACGCAUCGCGACCAAUGGAACUCGUCUGUGAUCGGGCACCUGUUUAAAAUCGAGCACCUCCUCAACCGAAACAAGCCAAUCCAGAAGUUCGUCGCCACGAAUUCCUCCAUGGAAUUCUGGAAUGUCGACACGAAACCCAGAUUCCCACUUGUUGCCACGGUCAUCACCAUAAGCAUCAUCUCGUCGGACACGACGGUGGUGAGGGUCAUCAUCAUCAUCGUCUUCCGUAUUGUAUGCCUCGUCGCGGUUGUGUGCACGAGCCGGGACACGGGCGUCCAAUCGGUUUAACAACAUCUCUCCAAGCUCAGCGAUGGAAGCAUGGAUUGUCGUCUGAAUGUUUUCCUGCAACGCUAGGAGUGUGGAACGCAAUUCAGCCCAUUCGGUCGUCGGAACUGGAGCUGUCGUCGGAGCUGGUGCUGUAUUCUCGCCGCCGUUGCCAUUCUUCUUUGGAGGCAUCGUGACAGAGAUCCGAAACUACAGAAACGUACUGAAUCUGAUACCAACUGAUAGAGAGCGGAAGCUGUAACAAGAGAUCGGAGAUGAAGUCGUCGAAAGAAAACUCGUAACGAACUCAAAUAAACAAGAGUACUCCUCUUAGUGCUUGAAAGCUCUGAUAAUUAUUAGUUUCAAAAGUCGAAAGUUGUUCCACAAUGAAUCGUAAAUGUCCUAUAAAUACUAACUAAAGAGAUAAAGCUAACUUCCUAAACCCAAUCCUAACUAUAAAGGAUUUAUGCAUAUCCUUUUAAUAAGAAAAUCUCAAACUGAAUAAAAGAUAAAUAGUAUAACUUGGCAAACACGAACGAGGCCCACGCAUGUUUGCUGAAGCCCGAAAUCAAAGGAUGCGCUGCAUCAGGAGGUCUAGAUUUGCGAACAGUCUCUCUUUCCACAUGUUAUAGUCGAUCACACAGUUGAAUUUCUCGAUCUCAAUUUUAGCGGAAGACAUCGUGACCGAGAAUCAACACACCAGAACAAUCGACGACAUAAUCGAGCUAGAUCUUUCCCAGUAUUCCCGACCUUCGCUUUGAUACCACUUGUUGCGAAUAUCUCCGAUAUUGAUUGAACUAUGUUUAUAUGAAUCGAUUACGAUUGAUGGAUUAGAAUCAGAAUGAUUUAUGAACGAAACAGAAAAAAUAGCGACACGCGAGGAUUUAUCCAGUUCGGGUGCAAAACCGCAACCCUACGUCUGGCCGAGACUUGCUUGGAAUUCACUAAGAGAUUGUUUACAACGUCGCCGUACAAUGUCACUGGAAAACUCCCCUGAGAUCCCUUUUUCUCUCACCGGAAAAAUAUCUCACCGUUUUCCUCUCAGAUUACAAGAUCCUCACUUUCUCUCUAAACUCUCGUAACUGAAUGUGUAAUCACUCGCAGCUAACUUCAACAACUUGUAACAAGAAGACUAACCACUUAGACGCGCGUUAACUCCACGCACUAACGGUCACAAGCUCGAGUUCUUCAGCUUCAAGACGAAGCUUCUAACGACGACGUUUUUAGGUGGAAUUAUAUUAGACCCGCGGUUAAUUCAUCUUAACCCGGCUCUUCCUCAAUCAGUUCCUAAACCGGAACCUGCCAAUUGCAUCAGAUGGUUUAAUGACCAAAACACAUCCGACAGAAAGAAAUCGAUAAUGAUGAGUCACCUCUCACUUUUAUCUCUUGUUAACUAUUUGCACCUAAAUGAAAUGAAAUUUUUUUUGUCCAAAUGGAUUUGAAAUGGUUACUUGCUCCAUUAUACUAUUUACAUAUCUAUACAGUUAAACAUAAAGCCCAAUUAUUGGGUAAACUAUCUCCCAAAAAUUAGGCUUUGCUAGUAUUUAUUGAUUUAGUGUUAGUUAUGAAUCAGAAAUACUGGUAAUUAGAUUUACUUCGGUUUCAAAAAAGUAUGAUUUGCUAGAUUUAUUAACUCAGGUCAUAGUUUGGUCUCAAUAAUUAUCCUUUCGUAGAGUAUAUCUCUCUAUUUAUCUAUUUACGAUGUACACAAAGUAGACAAAGUCAACGUCUAAACCUUUGUACAGAUGAUGUAAUGUAACAAUAUCAAAUAAGUUUCCUAAAAUUGCCAGGUUUUUAGUAUAGUUUUCCUUUUCCGAGAGGGAUCAGGAUCACUCCAAAACUUCUUUAAUAAACUAAAAAAAACGUAUUCGAAGAAUUAAAAUCACAAAAAGCCAAAUUAAGAGCUUAGCUUCAUAGUCUCUCAUCAAUUCGAUUUUUGUUCAAUAUAGUUGGUACGAAACGAAACAUGGACAUAGAGAAGACACAAGAGUCGCAGCAGAAGACCGACGAUGAACUCUGGUUCCACGUUCCUCCUCAGACAUUCGACUCCUUGAGAUCAUCACCAUCUUCUUCUACCGAUGCAAUCAUCAUCAACGACAACGACGAGGAUGAAACCCUAGAGUCGAAAGAUAAGAAGACAGACAACCUCGAUUCUCCGACGUUUAACUCCUUGGACUCACUGCCCUCUACUAAUGCAAUCAUCAUCAACGACGACGACGAUAAGAAGAAGAAGAAGAAGUUGAGAUUAGGGUCUUCGUUGGAGAAAGAUGAAGCCUAUAACGAACUAAGUUGCGUGGUGAAGUGGUUACCGAAGAAGAAGGACGAUAAUGAUGCUGAAUCAAGAGUAGUAGAUUCAAGCUUUUCUUCUACUGAUCCUCACGAGAAGGACGAAGAGAGAUCAGUAUCAUCAAGUCAUCAUGACAAGAGUGGUAAUAGUGGCAAUAGACACGUGUCCCUUGAUGAUUUGGGUGUUUCGGUGGAAGAUCUUAAGAGUAUGCCAUGGGAAGCGUUUGACCCGAAUUGGGAUAUUAGGUCAGAGGCCAAGGAUCCAUGGCUUGGUGGCUACGUCAAAGACAUGUUCUCUCCUCAUCACUAAUUUCCCACACUUAUUUAUUUCCUUUUUUAAUUAAUUUUUCAAAAAAAAGAGAAAAGUAACAUCUUUUAUUAAUUUGUGAGAUUAUUAACUCUAUAAUGCAUGUAUUCAACCAGAGAGGUGUUACAUUAUAACUGCUCCUUAGAUAUAUAUUUUUUGUAACCAUGUCUUUCGAGUUUUAACGGUGAAUAUCGUGAAGAAAAUUGCUACGUAAAUUCAUAAUUUAGAGUGAUUUUGGGCGUUGAAACACUAAACCCUAAACCCACAAAACAGAUAACUUUUUACUCAGGCCAAACAGAGCCAUCGACUUUGCUACAUCAAAGUCGUUGGAAAUAAGAAAACAGAAUCUAGAAGAGAUUUAUCACAUCAAUGUCAAGUUGUUAACCAUAAGGAUACAUGCAAACACAACAUUGCUUAAAUUGAGCCGUUUUCUUCAACGACCAGAGAGACUAAUCUGUUGAUAGUUAUUAUCAAUGGACUCUUUGACAGCAUCAACCACUAGCUGCGUCUUCCGGCUAAUGCUAGGCCAAAACAAAUCAGGCUUUGCACCUUUGUUCUUGAUUUCUCCAACCAACCUGGCGAAUUCACUCACCAUACACGCUUCUUGAGGGAGCUCUGUCUUAACCGUGUGUUCAGCCGGAGGGUUAACCCAUGCAGUCGCUGCGGGCUUAUUGAUCCAAGCGUUAGUGCAAGUUGUGAAUGAUGCCUCCGUCUCUUGAAACGGGAUAACAAAGUCGUGAACACGAAGUGUGCCUUUUGUUCCAAUGGCGGUUAUCUCCAUUGUUAGGUUUGCCAAGUAGGAGCAGUAUAUGGUUGCGGUUCGUUUGUCUUCUUCCCAUGUCAUAGAUGCUCCACAGGAGAGAUUCACUCCUAACUUGUUUCGGAAAGUUCCUGGAAAGGCCGUGACUGUUUUGGGAAGCUCGAAGUUGUUGACUAAAAGGGUUGCUCGGAUCGUGUACCAUCCAGCGUCUCCUAGCGCACCAAGACCAUCAAGAUCCGGUUUGGCACGGAUACUGUUUUCGAGGAAAUCUUUGUUCGCAGCCACGGUGAAGCAACUAUGUACCUGCAAUGUUUUAAUAACGAAAAGAGUUUCAAGAAACAGCUCUUGACAAUAUUUAAUCUUUCAAGAAACAAAAGUAAUCACACAAACUGAGGAAUAAUUACAGAAGCCACAAACUGACUAUUGAAAUGGGAUUUUUCUAUUAAAAGCAAACAGUAUGGCAUUGAAAAUUCAUAUUUUCCUAGAAGUUUGUUUUUUUUUUGGGUGGAUAUUGAGAAAUCCAAAAAGUAGAGACAAACAUGAAUUGGAUACCUUAUAAUUAUAGGAUAUACGGAAUCAGAGUCGGUUCCAAAUAACUAUUUUAAUCGAAUUGGGAUCGGCCGGAUCAGCCAAAAAUAGUUAACAAUAAUUAUAUAAUAAAAUCACUAAAAACUAGAACCAAGAAAAAAAAAACUCAAUUAAGAUCUAUUACCAUGUAUAAAGGACAUGUUGACUAUAUGUUCCUUAUAAUAAUAGUAUAAAUGACAAUAACUCAAAAGCGAUUUUAAUAAUUUGAUGGCAAAAAUGUUUCGAAAGAAUUAACACAUGUGGAGAGAGUGCUUACGUUUUUAAGCUGGCCAAAACGGUCUGAGUCGAAGAGGAAUUCUUUAAGCUUAUCCGUUCUAGGAUGAUGAGCCCACAUGGUACCAUCCAUAAUCUGAACACCAUUGAUCUCGCAAGCCGCAACAAUCUUAUCGAACUCAGCUACGUUCAUGGCCACAGGCUUCUCCAAAAGGAUAUGCUUCCCUUUCUCGGCGGCACGUAUAGCCCACUUGGCGUGGAGGCUAGUCGGAAGAGGAAUGUAAAGAGCAUCAACCUCUGAAUCUUCAAGAAUCGACUCAUAGGAGCCGUGGACCUUUGCCGAUUGAGGGUAGCCAUUGGAGGUAGCAAACAAUUUGGCUUUCUCCAUGGACCGGCUUGCAAUAGCGGCUAUAGUGGCGUUUGGAGCGAGGUGGAUUGCUCGAGAGACCUUGCGAGCGAUUUCGGCGCAUCCCAUUACUCCAAUUCGGAUUGGCAUAUCGGUAGCCAUUGUUGUUGUUGAUAUAUCGGAUUAGGGACUAGUGGUCAUGUAUAGAGAGAGAACUAGGAUCAAAGACAAAACAUGUAGGGAGAGAGAGGUUUAGGACUUAAAGUGGGGAGACCACCUCAAAUAAAGUUUAAAGGACACGUUUUUAUAAAGAGUCGAGCCUACCUGCCAGAUCUCCAAAAAAUAUCAGAAAAGUUAACAGUUGCCACUACAAGAAAACAUGCUGAAAACCUACGGAAAAUAUCGUCAGAAAAACAUAAAAAACAGCCCUUUCUUACCAAAUUCCUAUGAAAUUUUGUUAAAUGGUAGGAAAUUUCCUACGAAAAUGUUGGUAGGAUAUUUUUCCUACGGAAUUUUUAGUAGAACUUUCCAACCAAAUUAUUACCAUUUUCUAUCGAUUAGUGUUCUUUCCAAUUUCCUACGAAACAUCACUUACCUAUUUCCUACGAUUUUUUUACUAAUCUUUUACUUCAAAUUUCUUACCAAUUUUCUACCAAUAUAAUUUUAUAAAAAUCAAAAACUAAAUUAAUAUCAGAAAUUGAAUUUAAAUUAAAAUAUAAAUUAAUUAUAAAUUUUGACAUUUUUUUCGUAGGAAAUUUCUUACCUAUUUCCUACCACUUUUAUUUUUCGUCAUAAUUACGUAAGAAAUUGGUGAAAAAUAUUCCUACCAAAUACAUUCGUAGGAAUUUUCGUAGGAAUAUGAUAUGUUUUCUUGUAGUAUGCUGCUUUUUAAGAGGUAAAGCUUUUUUUUUUUCUUUUGAAUUGGUAAUUGUGGUUUUACUUAGACAUUGUUUAUCACAAUUUAGCUAGUCACUUAAUGUACAAUUUCAAGUAACUAUUGGUUCUUCUUCAUUAUCAUUUUUAAACUUUUUAAUAUUAGGACAUUCCAACUAUCUUGCUGUCGGUACUGAUCAUUCUAAAUAGGUUACUGCAAAGAAAGAAAGACGUUUUUUUUACCUUGUUUAUGAACUCUGUCUAGUUUUAUUUUAACAGAAGGUUGAUAUAUAUGAAUUUCUGGUUCUUUAUGCUUUUACAUGUUUUCUCUCACCUUUCUGAUUACACCGUGUGGUUACAUGCAUAGCUAGCUCAACUCUCUCUCAUUUUUUCUUAUAAACUUAUAUAUAGAAGAGACAACCUCGAACCCUAAUGAAAUUUAUUAGGAAAUAUUAUCUCACAUCGGAAUCGGAAGUUGAAAGAAAUCCUGACUAAUAUAUAACUGAUAGGGUCAAUCCACUCAUUGUCAAUUGGUUUUAUGUUGGAAGCAUAAGACACUUAACAUAGUAUCAGAGUCUGAUCUAUGCUGUCCAACCCGAUUCAUUAUCGAUCCAACCCAAAGUUGGUCCCAUCGAUCCAAGCCCAAACAUAACAAGAUUGAUGGCGAAAGAACCAUCAUCUCGAGGGAGCGUAUUAAGAAAUAUUAUCUUACAUCGGAAGUUGAAAGGGAUCCUGACUAAUAUAUAAAAGAUUUGAGUCAUUUCACUCAUUGCCAAUUGAUUUUGAGUUGAAAGUCCAGAAAACUAACAUAGUAUCAGAGCCCGAUCCACACUGUCCAACCCGAUCUAUUAUCAAUCUGACCCAAAGUUGGUCUUAUCGAUCCAAGCCUGGACAUACCGAAAUUGAUGACCAAAUAACCAUUAUUUCGAAAGAGUGUAUUAGAAAAUAUUAUCAUACAUUAAAAAUUGGAAGGAAUUUUUACUAAUAUAAGGGAUAUGGGCAAUCCACUUAUUUUCAAUUGAUUUUGAGUUGGAAGCUCAUGAAAUUUAACAAAAUCACCAAAAACAUUUGAAUUCACAAGAAGAAAAAUUUUCCUUCUUGACCAGUAAUGCAAAAGCUUAAUUUAUUGUGGUUCCAAAAGAUUAACUCAACCCAAAUCCAACUAAAGUUAACGCUUGGGUUUUUUCUUGAAGACUUCCUCGUCAAGUUCACAUCUUCACGUUAAUAAAAUAAAGCAAGUCAACUGAUUCAUGUCUGUGAUAAUUAAAAAUAAACCAUUUGCAAGAAUUUAUAAUGUUAUUAUAUACCAAACAUUAAUAAAUAACUAUUUGAUCAAUUCCAUAGAUUACAUUUCUAAAUAUUAUUUUUCAUCCUUUGUAUAUUUGCUUGUUCAUUGUUUGUUACCUGCAAAGACAAAGUAAUAAGUUAUUUGUUUUUCAAUAUACUAGAGGCCAUUACUAUAAGAAAGUUUCUUUUCCGAGAGCUCGUCAUCUCACAAAGACCCUAAAAAUCAACCUUGAGAAAGUUUCUUAUAGUUGGGGCCACGACUUUGAGAAAGUUUCUCAAUUUGAAUUCUUUUCCUCCUCGGUAGAUACCUUUCUAAAAUCAAUGUUCAUAAUCUUCUCUUUAUCCUACAUCUCUCAUGGUUUCUUCUUCUUCGUAUAACAUCAGGAGAUACCAUGUCUUUACGAGCUUCCACGGGCCAGACGUACGCAGAACAUUUCUUAGUCAUUUGCACAAUCACUUUGCAACCAAAGCGAUCACAACGUUCAACGAUCAGAAGAUCGAGAGAGGUAACACAAUCGGACUUGAACUCGUACAAGCCAUUAGAGAAUCAUGACUCUCAAUCGUGGUGCUCUCGAAGAAGUACGCUUCUUCAAGCUGGUGUUUAGAUGAAUUGGUUGAAAUCUUGGAGUGCAAAGAAACUUCGGGGCAGAUUGUGAUGACGAUUUUUUAUGAUAUUGACCCAUCGGAUGUACGGAAACAGAGUGGACAUUUCGGAAGAACUUUCAUGAAAACUUGUGAAGGGAAAGCGGAAGGCGAGAAGAAAAGGUGGAUCAAUGCUUUGACAUAUGUAGCAACCAUUGCCGGAGAACACUCUCAAAGCUGGUUUGUACUUUAGUUUUGGUCUUCUAAUAAAAUGGUACUUUCAUCUUAGACACAUUCCACAAUAAUACACCAACUAAGUUUCUGUUACCAUUUUUAUUCACCUAACUUUUCACCAAUCACCAUAUUUUAUAUCAUAACACGAGAUUACAAAAAAAAAGCCAUACAAUAGACACUAUUUGCGACUCUAAACAGAGCGUCGUAUUAUGAAAAGAGAUGUGUACAAGAGAACCAUGAGAAAAGGUUUGUGUCGGAAAACCUCUUAAAAAAUGGAUAAAGGUUAAUAGUUGGUGAUGGAAAAGAUAUAAUACGUUUAUUAUAUACGUAUGCAAAACGUUGAUUUCUUAAAAUGGUUAUAGAAAUUUAGUUGGUGCAUUAUUAUUAGGGAUCUCUUAUUAUUAUUGAAUUUUCCAUUUUAUUUUUCUUAAGAAUGCUUCAAUGGUGGUGCCUCUUUAAAUUUGGACUCGUUAUUUCUGUUAGGGACGAUGAAGCUAAGAUGAUCGAAAAGAUUGCUAUUGAUGUUUCAAACAGACUAAGUCUUACACCAUCAAAGGAUUUUGACGGGAUGGUGGGAAUGGAAGCCCACUUGAGAGAAACAAAAUCUUUUUUAUUUUUUUAUUUAUUUUUUUUUUUUUUAAAGUAACCAACUUUUAAUUAAAAAGAAAACCCUUACAGCUAUGACCGAGAUCAUACAGUUUUAGAAAGUAGGUUAAAAGAAGAGAAAAAGUGAAGAGUACAUAAAAUGAACCAGAUACAAUCGAAUCUUCCGCUUCGAUUGACUUUCGUGCUUAGAUUAACAAGAAAAUUAGAUGCGACCGCCUCGGUUACCACGUCCUCGGUUUCCACGUCCACGACCUGUGGAUUGCCAAUUCAUCUCUUUAGCCUUUGCUGAUGGCUUCACUGGUCUUUCUCGAAGAAUUCGCUUCCCCGAAGGAGUCAUGAGAUCCAUCGAGUCCAUUUCUUUGUCUGAAUCCGACAAGUCUUUUUCUUCUUCCGGAGAAAUCAGAGAAGCAAACUUAUUAGAACCCAAAUCAGGCACUACUAUUCUCAUACUUUCCUUCUCGACAGUAGGUUUUGCUUGAGCAUUAGUGGUAACAGUGGAGUAUAAAGAACGAGCAGCCUCCAAAAAAGAAGACUCAAUGACAUUAUUGUUGGUAGCUGAAAGAGAGGUUUGAUAUGCUGUGGGGACAGUCGCAUUCACAAUUGUCGAAGCUGUAGAUACCGGAAUGAUAUCUUCUAUGAUGGAAGCUUUAACUAAAUCAACGGUGAUAGUUGUUAGUAGCAGGUAUCUCAAUACUUAUGGAAGGAGCUGAGUUAGAGUGGUUUUGAGCAGAGAUCGGGACAGAAUUGGAAGCUCCAGCCACGUCCAUGUCAACCAUCAACACAGUUUCUUUAGUUGUAUUAUCAUCAACCCUUGGGCCGUUUUCCUCUUGUAAGCAACGCUUAACUUUGUGUCCCAAUUGGCCACACCUGCUGCAUUUAGAAGGCAACCAUGCAUAUUCCACAUCAACCAUUGAAAUAACCCCAUUUAAAUCAUCAGCAGCUAUUCGGGAUGGAAAAGCUUUACUCAACUCAACUUCAACCAAGAUUUUUGCUUCACCCAUGAGAAUGGGAUCCAACCGAGGCUUGUGAGUUGCCAUGGGAGCACCUAAACCCGAAGCAAUAUGACUUAUACCCGGGAUAGCAUAUAAAAUAUUGGGUAUGUUCUUUAAGGUUACCCAAACCGGAAUGGUUUUAAUCUCAGGAAUAGCAAGGGAAGCCUCUGAGGUCCAAGAAACUACAAACAUUAGGCAAUCAUCAACAUGCCAUAGUGCUCGCUGGAGAACCCAAAUCCUAGUGGAUUCAUCUGGUAAAUGGAAUAAGUAAUUUGAUUCACCAAGCUUCCUAAUGGUUAUUCUGCAAUUUCUUCCCCAUAACUUGUUGAAGACAGCAAAUAUUAAUCCACCUGACGGAGGAGAGCAUCUAUAGAAUUGACCAAGAAUAUACUCUUUCUGGUUCUCUAAUCCUUGUAACAAGACAUGUUGAGGAAUUGUUACCUUAGGAGUCCCAUCUUCUAGAUAUUCUGGCUCAGUUGCCCUGUAGAGAUUCCUUGGAUUCAUUUUUGCUGCCCAUGGAAACCGAAUAGGAUCUUCUACAGCCGCUGGUUUUGGUUUUGGAUUAUAAAAAACCUGUUGUUCACGAGCCUGCUGCUUUCUACUAGGCUUUGAGACAGAAAGAGUAGGCCACAUUUCUCUGGAAAUUGGAGGAGCUUGAUGAGAUGACGAUGCAAUUGAGAAGUUUAGCUUUUUAGCCCAUGCACCUUUUAAAGCAGGAGAUUGAAUGGGACAAUGGUUGAGGAGUUCUUCACCAGCAACUUCCUUACCCAGAGUAGCAGGGGCUUGCUCCGUCAGAAUCGUUGAUUGGUUCCCUUCGUUCAACAAUUUUUCGGCAGAACAGACGACCGCCAAGCCUGUCGAUUGAAGAGGAUUAACCAAAGACGCAACUGGGCUCGCAAGGGAAGGAUGAGACGGUGGAGGAAGCAAUCGUUGGACAGCAGGACGAGUAGCGAUUGAGGGUGGAGAGCUGGAUAUAUUGGUCGCAGUCCAACGAUUCAGGUAGGGCCAGCGGGGGUCCGGAGAGUCAGAGGGUUUUUCGCCGGAGCUAUCUCCAAUUGCAGCGGCAUGACCAGAAAACUCAUCCGAAUUUUUAAGUAAACUUGAUGAAUCUGGGUUCUGUAAAUCCAUAAUGGGAAGGAGAUGAUCACUACAAGAAAGAUCGGCUUUUACGUCGGCAGAUAUCGACGUAAAAUCGACGUAAAAGAGCAUUUACGUCGAAUUAACGACGAAAUAAAAAUCGUCGUAAAACGAUCGUCGUAAAACCGAAAUCGUCGUAAAAUCGUCGUAAAAUUACCAACUCCGGAAAAUCGUCGUAAAAUCGUCGGGAACUAUUCGUCGUAAAUGCGUCGUAAAUUUUCCAACGGAUGUACAACGAAAGAACUCCAUAAAAACGACGUAAAAUCGAUGAAAAAUUACAUCGAUUUAACAACGAUUAGGAGACGAACAAUUUCAAUUAAGGGAAACUAAAUUUUUAAUUGUCGAUGUUAAAUCGUCGUAAAGUUUCGACGUAAAGCUGACGUAAACUUAUUCGUCGUAAAUUUGUCGUUAAAUAUUCGACGUUAAAUCGACGUAAAUUUACGACGAAUUUACGUCGACUUAUAAAUUAAUUAUUUAAUUCGAUUUUAAUUUAAUUAAUGAAUUUUUAAAAUAAUCAAAAAAUUAAAAAUAGAAAAAAUUUGAAUUGAAAUUGAAAUUUAAAUUCAAAAAUAAUUUAUAAAUAAAAAAAAUUAAUAGAAAUUGUUUUUUACAAAAAAACCUAAUCUAUACAAUGAUGUCGUAAUCGUCGAGGUUGAGAUCGACGUCACGAGGAGGCUCUCCGUCUUGGCCGCCCGUCGCUGCUAGGCCGACGUUUCCCGUCUGCACUACCGGAGCCGAAGUCUGACCGCCCGUCGCUGCUGAGACCGGAGCCGAAGACUGACCGCCCUGCGUCUGGUGGUCCGAUGGUCCAGUACCAGAACUACCACUGGUCUCAAAAACCCUCCGUGCUCGCUGUUGCCUCGCUCGGAUUGCGGUGGCCAACUGCGGAACCGCUUCCGCAAUGAUGUCGAAGAGAUCAUGUAUCUCGGUGAGCUCCUGCUUCUGGGCCACUUGCUCAUGCCUGAGACUGGUGAUCUCAGCAUUUGCCGUAGCAAGCUCCUGGCGAAGCUGCGGAUCCUGCGUGCGGAAUCCGGAAGCCGUGGCGGCAGGACAAUCUCUAAUAGAGCCCAUCCCUAAGGUUCGGCCCUUCUUCUUCGGAGUAACCUACAAAUGGAAAAUAAAAACGUUAAUUAUUUAUUAAGUAAUUAUAAAUAUAAUAAAUUUUUAAAAAAUUGAAAUAGAUAUCAUACCUCUUCGAAAAUCUGGUCUUGCUCAGCGACGGUCAACGGUACUUGGAUAGUACCGUCAGGUGUGGCCUGGGUCUCCCGCUCGGCGAUCCGCUGCAUAGCGGCAUUGUAGAUCUCCUCGGACCGAACGUCGACAAAGCUCCCGUCCUUCUUCCGGUGAGUGGUCUCGAAGAGCUUCGUCAUUGGAGGUAGUUCUCCUCCGUUCUCCUCGGCCUACCAAUUAAUAAACAUUAUUAGUCAAAAAUAUUUAAUUAAUUCUAGCGAUAAAUAAAAUUAAAAUAAUAAUGAAAUAAUUUAUAUUUAAUUACUUACCAUCAUGAGACGUCUUCCCGCAAAAGAUAUUUGGCUCGAACUUAUUGUAUCGCCGAGAUGCGUUUACAUCUACCACUCCAAAUUUGUUAAUUCGCACUCCACGACCUACCGUAGGAUCAAACCAAUCACAUUUGAAUAGAACAGUUUUCAUUCUGACUAAUCCGGGGUAUUCCACUUCAAUUAUCUCUUUGAUGAUCCCAUAAAAGUCUACUUCACCUCGUACACAAACUCCAUAGUUUGUAGUUGCCCGUUGAGUGCCAUGACUAUAAGUAUGAAAAACAUAGCCACGUGUGAAAUACAUAGCUGCAGUAGUUAUCUUCGAAAUAGGACCUAGGAGCAACUCAUGAAACCAUACUGCAUAUGUCAUGUCAUCAUAUGCUCGACUUGACCUUUUAACCACAAUGCAUAAUGUUGGUCUUUUCGCUUGUUAAUUUCAUCUUCUGAAACACCGUCAAUGCAUUCUCGGACUUGACUGACGAAAGUGCUGAAAUUUAAAACAUUGUUAAGGACAUUUCGUAUGUUCAAUCAAAUUUUAAUCAUACAUGGUUAUAAUUAUGUACCUCUCGUAAGGUGCCAAUUCCUCGCAAUUCAGAAGUAUAUAUGUAUGUGCGCUGUGGUAGUCUUGUUCGUUUGACCAACAAGUUUCUUUUAGUUUCCCACUUAGACGUCCAAUUGGUGAGAAUAUAUCAGGCACACCUUCUACUGCGUAACUUUGUCCUACACCCCCAUCGUCGUAACGUCUUGGAGCCUGUUUGCGUGUACGAACCUUUGGAGCAAAGUAAUAAGACGUGAAAUGAGAAGUCUCUUCUGUCAGACUUCCCGCCACGAUAGACCCUUCAACUUUUGCUAAGUUUUUGGCCUUACCCUUCAAAUGCUUCAUAAAUCGUUCAAACGGAUACAUCCACCUAAACUGAACAGGUCCUCCCAACUCUGCUUCAUGAGGGAGGUGUAUAGGUAAAUGUUCCAUAACAUCGAAGAAAGCAGGUGGGAAUAUUUUCUCCAAAUUGCACAACAAUAUUGGAAUAUUUGUAGACAGUUGUGCAACUACAUCUUCUGAUAAUGUCCUUGUACUUAGAUCACGGAAGAAAGCUCCAAUGCCUCAUAGUGCCUCAUGGACAUGUCCCGGUAGGAGUUCAGCAAACGCAAAAGGAAGUAACCGUUGCAUAAACACAUGACAAUCAUGACUUUUCAUCCCUGAAAACUUUUGUCCUUUAUCCACAGAUUUAGCCAGAUUAGAUACAUAUCCAUCAGGAAAUUUCACGGCUGAUGAUACCCAAUUAAACAAUGCUGUUUUUUGUUCAGCACCCAACCGAAAUACAGGAACAGGUGCUUUCCCAUUACUCACCAUAUGCAACUCAAUUCUGUUACAUAUAUCGGGUAAGUCCAUCCGUGAUUUAACGCUGUCUUUGGUUCUUCCUUGGACGUUCAAAACAGUAUGCAUGAUGUUAUCGAAAAAAUUCUUCUCAAUGUGCAUAACAUCAAGAUUAUGUCUAAGCAAAUGAUCUUUCCAGUAAGGCAGAUCCCAAAAUAUACUUUUCUUGUGCCAAUUAUGAUGAACCCCAUAUCCGUCAGGCAUAUUCGCAGGAGUGUGCCAAUUUCCUCCAAGGGGGACCGUUUCAAGUCCACCCCAAUGAUCUAUUUGCGCUUCAAGCUCUACUCCAGUUAGGUACACUGGUGGAGGGAGACGAACCAAUUUGUUCUUUAUAAACAAACGCCUAUUUCUUCUAUAUUGAUGGUUUGGUGGUAAAAACCGACGGUGGCAAUCAAACCAACAUGUUUUCCUACCAUGUUUAAGCUGAAAUGCAUCAGUCCUAUGAAGACAAUAAGGACAUGAUAACCUCCCAUGCGUUGUCCAACCUGAUAGCAUUCCGUAUGCCGGGAAAUCGUUUAUUGUCCACAUAAGCACCGCUCGCAUCGUAAAAUUUUUACCACUCGAACAGUCAUAUGUUCGUACUCCAACAUGCCACAACUGGUUUAACUCAUGUAUGAGUGGUUGCAAAAAAACAUCAAGGGCCCGCUUCGGGUGAUUUGGACCAGGGACUAAUAUACUUAGAAACAAAAACUCUCUUUCCAUGCACAUAUCUGGAGGAAGGUUAUAUGGCGUAAGAAUCACAGGCCAUAAUGAAUAUUGCCUACCAGACAUACCAAAUGGACUAAACCCGUCAGUGCAAAGACCAAGAUAAACAUUUCGCUUAGACCUAGCAAAGUCUGGAUGUACGGUGUUAAAAUGUUUCCAAGAUUUUCCGUCAGACGGGUGAGUCAUUUUGCCAUCUGUUUGUGAAUGUUCCGCAUGCCAUCUCAUCGACGCAGCUGUCCGUUCGGAUUGAUAUAGUCUUUUUAACCUAUCAGUGAUUGGAAGAUACCACAUUCGUUGGUAAGGAAUCUUCUUACGCCCAGCAAUUUGCGGUCUAUAUCUUGGCUUUUGGCAGAAACGACAUUUUUCAAGCUUCUCAUCAUCUCUCCAAAAAAGCAUACAAUUAUCAACACAAACAUCAAUCAUCUCAGAAGGCAAUCCAAGACUAAAAACCAGCUUCUGAAUUUCAUAAUACGUUUCAGCAGCCAAAUUAUCAUCUGGCAAAUACUCUUUAAUAAGAUCUGCCCAAUCGUUCAUGCAAACUUCAGAUAGAUUGUGAUCUGUUUUUAUUGUCAUCAUCCGAGCUGUUAAUGAUAAUUUUGAUAAACCUUCCCUACAUCCCUCGUACAGAGGCUGUUUUGCUGCAUUUAACAUAUCAUAAAAGCAUUUCGCAUCUGCAUUGGGCUCCUCAACAGUAUCAGCAUGUGUUUCAUGAAAUGCAUCAGUAAUCAUUUCAUGCAUCCUAUCAUGAUCUUCACCCUGAACUUGACUACUUUGAUAAUCAUUGGACGCUUCAAAAUCCACAUGUUCUUGAUGAUUACUACUACUCCGUGCAGCCAUCUGACCACUACUUUGACCAUAUCCCUCUCCAUGCUGAUACCAAAUAAAGUAUUGGGGCAUGAACCCUCUAUUCAAUAAAUGCUGCCAGACAGUGUCAAUAAGAAUAUGUUUCCUAUUUUUGCAUUUCACACAAGGACAAUACAUUUUGCCGCUUUCAAUUACAGUUUCCAGAAGGCCGGCUUGGUACAUGAAUAUUUCCAAUCCGUUUUUGAAGUCUUCAGUCAACGACCCAUCACCAUUUUUGGGCGUAUACAUCCACUUUCGUAGAUCGUAUAUAGACAUUUCAAAAACAAAUAUUUGACUUUUUGUUUCUGAAAUUUGAUAGAAAUUUCAACUACCAAAAAUUUUACUUAAACAUUCAAAGACUCAAAAAAUUUGUUUUUAUAUGUUUUUUUGGGAUGAUGGAAUAAUGAGAGAAGAAAGGGUAUAUAUAGAAUUUUUUGUUUGGUUACCAACAUAUUACCAUUGCAUAUUUACAUCAAAUUUACGUCGAAAUAAAAUUUACAUCACAUUUACAUCGAUUUUACGUCAAUUACAAGAUAGAGGACAAUUCGUCGUAUUAUCGAUGUAAAUAUUACGACAAGAUUACGACGAAAUAAAAUUCGUUCUUUAUUCGUCGUAAAAUCGUCGUAACAUUACGACGAUUUUACGAGGGUUAUUUUUUACGUCGAAUUUACGACGAAAUUUUUGAUCGUCGUAAAUACGACGUAAUGUCGUCGUAAAUUUACGACGACUACAAAUCGUCGUAAAUAAUUCGACGGAAAAGCCCCUCUUUCUUGUAGUGGAUGGAGGAAGGAUUAUGAAGUAGUUCACAGGCGAAGAACGAGAUUAAAAGAGCGCAACGAUCCGCAACGGCGGAUUCGUUGAGAAAAUCGAAUGAAAAAUUUAGGUUGUCGCCUUGAAGAUCGCUUUUUGGGGGCGCGUGGUAUGGCGCGGAUCUUAUUUACGCGGUCCUGCGGAAAUAGGUGAUGAAGUGAAGAUGAUUGGAAUUCAGGGUCCUGCGGGGAUCGGUAAGACAACAAUUGCUAGAGCUUUAUUCAACCAGCUCUCUGCCGAUUUUAAACUUACAUGCUUUAUGGGGAACCUCAAGGGAAGUUAUGGGAGCGAUGGUAUUGAUGACUAUGGUUGGAAGUUGUAUUUACAGAGCCAACUUCUGUCCAAUAUUUUGAAGCAACAGGAAUUCAAGAUACACGAUUUAGGCGCGAUAAAAGAAAGGCUACGGUACCAAAAAGUCCUUAUAGUUCUUGAUGAUGUAGAUGAUCUUGAACAACUAAACGCCUUGGCUAAAGAACCAUCUUGGUUUGGUUUAGGAAGUCGUAUCGUCGUUACAACAGAAGAUAGAAAGAUAUUGAAGGCACAUUGGGUAAACAAUAUCUACCAUGUGGGUUAUCCAUCUGAAGAAGAAGCUCUUGAGAUCUUAUGUCUAUCCGCUUUCAAGCAAAGUUCUCCGUUGGAUGGUUUUGAAGGUCUUGCAAAAAAAAAAUAGCAAAUCUUUGCGGUAAUCUUCCCUUAGGCCUUCAUGUUGUGGGUUUAUCUUUGUGUGGGGACAGCAAGCAGGAGUGGGAAGAUCAAUUAUCUAACCUCAAAUCUAAUCUUGAUAGAAAAAUUGAGAACGUGCUAAAAGUGGGAUAUGAAAAACUAUUGGAUACAAAUCGAUCUCUAUUUCUCCACAUUGCAUUCUUCUUCAACAAUCAAGCUGUUGAUCAUGUGAAAACCAUGCUAGCUGGCAGUACGUUGGAUGUCAGUAAUGGGUUAAAUACCCUUGCGGAUAAAUCCCUCGUGUAUGUAUCGACCACUGGGUGGAUAACGAUGCAUUGUUUAUUGCAACAAUUGGGCAGACAAAUAGUUCAUAUGCAGUCUGACGACCCUGGGAAACGUCUUUAGAAGAGGCCUUAGAGAUUCGUGAUGUUCUGGCAAAUAAUUCAGUAAGUUCUUAUAUAUAUUCUCUAGACAACUUGCUCAACAAAUAUUUGGUUUUGUGACAACAUUUUCAUCAAUAUUUUCUUGGAAUACUUGUUAGGGUACUGGAUCUGUCUUAGGAAUAUCAUUUGAUACGUCCAAGAUGGACGAGUUCUCUAUAAGUAGUCGAGCCUUUGAAGGAAUGCAUAAUCUCGAAUUCUUAAGAAUAUAUGGGAGGUAUAUUAGUGCACUGCAGAUAUCGGAAGACAUGGAAUAUUUACCUUGCCUAAGGUUACUUCAAUGGAACUCCUACCCGGGAAAAAGUCUUCCUCCAAAAUUUCAGCUGGGACGUCUUGUCGAAAUCCACAUGCCAAUGAGCAAUCUCGAGAGGCUCUGGGGAGGAAUCCAGGUUUGAUAUUUUUAAAUAUGUAUCUAAGGAUUCAUUAUAAAAUAGGAUUGUAAUUGUCAAAACAUCAACUUUCAAAAUUGGGCAAUUCAAAGCAUUAAACUUUCGCGUGGACUUUCUAUUUAAAUCAUAUAUUUUUGCUGAUUAAGUAAAAUUAAUCACGUUGUUGAAUCAUCAUAUAUAUUAUAAGCGAAGUAAAAAUUUCGUUUAAAGUUCUCUCAUUUAAUCUCAAGGUGGCUAAUUACCCUUUACCCCUCCUUAAAUUAGUUUAAAUUAAUUUUUAUAAAAAAUUAUAUUAAAAAAACGAAAAUAAUGGUUUAAAUUAAGUUAACAAACCAUUAUCAUACCAUAUAUUAAAAAAAACCAAAAACAACGGUUAAGGGUUUAAAAAACAAAUACUUAGCGGCUAAUUACCCUUAACCCUUCUUAAAUUAGUUUAAAUUAAGUUUUAUAAAAAUAUAUAUUAAAAAAACGAAAAUAAUGGUUUAAAUUAAGUUAACAAACCAUUAUCAUACCGUAUAUUUUAAAAAAAAAACCAAAAACAAUGGUUUAUAGUUUAAAAACAAAUACAUUUCCCUUAAAGAGACUGCAGAGUAAAGUAUCUGUGAUUCUUCUGAAUACUAAACUUCCCUGAAGGGCAACAACGAUUGUAUCUGGAUUUCUUCUGGUAUUGUUCUCUUUUAAAUAAAGCCAUACAAGUGUUGCAAGUUGCAGCAGAAGUAAUUAAUUUUUAGACAAACAUUCUUUCGAUGCCAAGAUUCAGGUUUUUUUUUUAAAAGCUUGUCUUAGACCAGUUUGACUGCCGAGAAAACUGUGAAAGGAGAAAAAAAAAAGUGAUUUAGGAUUUCUUUAAAGCCAAGACGAGAGACAAAACAUCAAUAGGUUAAAUUACGCAAAUGAUCUCUAAAUCAUUUUGCAAGCUUAUAAGCUUCUAACAGAGGACAAGCUAGCGUAUCUUCUAGGUUUUAUCUUUAGCCAUAUAGUUGAUCUGACAGUUUUUACAGGUUUUGUCGAGAAACCAAGCUUCUGUAAUCAUACAAUCAAAUCAAGAGAAAUAAAGGGAAAAGCUUUGGUUGAAUCAGAAAUUAGCUUCGGUUUCCAAAGUUGAUCAACAACCCAUGAGAGAAAAAGAGUUGAAAAAAAAAAUUCAAAUAGAGAAGUUAACAAAAUUGGUUGAACAAAAAAAAAACUUUCAACUGUUCAACAUUCAAAUUAAGAGAAUAUAUUUUUUGUUCCCACUUGGUGGGCGUCUUUUGACAAACAAGAGAGAGCGAGAGUGAUAUAUUAAAUUGUGUCUUAUCUAUUGAUGACCGACAAAACCAUUAGUUUUCAUGGAGUAUUUUCAACUGGGAAAAUGCAAAGAAAAAGUGAGAGACACUAGAGAGGGAGAGAGAUAGAUGGUCGAAAAAUAAGUAAAAGUGGAAGUUUUAUAGCCACAAAGUCGUGGCUUUAAGCUCCACAGGAGGGAAGAAGAAUGAAGAACACAGAGGUAAUCGGUGAAUCUUUUCUCUGGCCAAUUACACAUAGGUGAUCAGUGUAUCAUACCAAGGAGACUUGGUUCCCAAGGCAAAUGAAAAUAGCGAAAGCUUCCACUUUCCUUCCUGGUUGCUAGAGAUUUUUGUAGCCGAUAUUAUAAAUUUAUAACAAUGUGCAACGAUACACAUGUUCAGUUCUAAUUCUUUGGCUAAUCUAUUAUAUGAUCGAUAUAUUGUAUAAGUCUUCUAUAAUCUUUUUUUAGUUUGCAUGAUGAUAUUGUAACGGAAGGAAGAAGAGUGUUGUGGUGCACUUUUUCUAUUAAUAUAUAGGUUCAUAUUUUUCUAUUAAAAUACCCAAAUUAAAAUGAAAUCCAAGCUAAACUAUAGGAAAGGUUCAUCUUUUUCUAUUAAUAUGUUUGGAAUUACAAAAAAAUCUCCAAAACAUUAAAAAGAAAAUAAAGUAUAAGAAACCGAAGAAGAAAGAAAACCUAGCAAAUUUUGCCACAGAUAACAACCUUAGACGUUGGCAGCCUGAUUGGAUUCAGUUGCGACAUAUUACUUUGGUCGAGUGAAUUUCAUUGACAUCAAAAAUGGUUUGGAUGUAGUAACAUGAAUCUGUUUUUGGGAUUUUAGGUUACGUUUAGUAGAAUUACAUGUACACGUGAUAGGAAAAAUUAACUAACUUCACAGUGCGUCUUGUGUUUAACUACAUAAUUUUGAGGAAAUUGUUUUAAAAGUUUGUGUGAGAGGGAGGAAGAGAGAGAGACGUAAAGAGAGAAGUAAAAGCCUUUAAAAACAUAUAUAUAUAUAUGGAGGAAAUGAGUGAGAGAGAGAGGGAUAGAGGGAUUAAUGAGUGAGAGAGAGAGAGAUGGAGGGAAUGAGUGAGGGAGAGGGAAAGAGGGAGCAAUGGAGAGAAGGAGCGAAAGAAAGGUGAAGCGCAAGAAGGAAAAUGCAUGAAAGACAAUGAAGACAAAGUAGAAGAAGGUAAAAAUGAGGAGAAAUACAAGAAAAAAGACAAAGACGACAAAGAAGAAAAAUCAAAAGGUAUAAAAUGGGGAAAGAAAGAAAACGAAGAAGUCACAUUUAUCUUAAUUUAGUUGGUUAUAGGUUUCAUACACUUAUUUACUAUUAUUUUUUUGGUUUUUAGUUUUGGAUGAUGUUUACUUUUUAUGAUUAGUUAUGUUUUU
This 73663-nucleotide long non-coding RNA is filed under the name Eutrema salsugineum. Its description in RNAcentral is "long non-coding RNA (ESAL_LNC000098)". Lineage: Eukaryota; Viridiplantae; Streptophyta; Magnoliopsida; Brassicales; Brassicaceae. The record is from RNAcentral.